This 63643-nucleotide long non-coding RNA is filed under the name Musa acuminata (dwarf banana). RNAcentral describes it as "long non-coding RNA (MACU_LNC000770)". The record is from RNAcentral. Lineage: Eukaryota; Viridiplantae; Streptophyta; Magnoliopsida; Zingiberales; Musaceae.
CCUCUCCCUCUGAACACAUCUUGUACUAAGAUCUUCCUUCAGAUUAGGGAGAAAGGCCUCUUACGACAACCAAACCCCAUGAAGGCUACUCAUAAAGAUCGAUCCAAAUAUUGCAGGUUCCACCAGGACUACGAUCAUGAUACGGAGGACUACCACGACCUUCGAAACCAGAUCGAGGAAUUAAUCCGGAGAGGUCACCUCGAGCACUACCUCAGGGAGCCAAGAGAGAUAUCUCCGCGUCCUUGAGGGCCUGUCGAGAAACAAAUCGACGUCAUCAUCGGUGGACCGACAGCCGAUGACAAAUAGCAUGACGACGAGGAAGGCCUACGCACGUAGCACGGUGGAGAAAUGCCCCAAACCCGAGUACGAGCCCGAAAUCACCUUCGGAACCAAAGAGGUCGAAUGCUCCCACCACGAUGAUGCCUUGGUGAUCUCCAUCCAAAUCGCCAACUCCCAGGUGAAAAGAGUAAUGGUCGACACCAGGAGCUCUACCGACGUGCUAUACCUCGACGCUUUCAAGAAGCUUGGCUUAAUCGAUAGGAACUUCACCCCCAUGGCAUCAGCACUCACUGGGUUCAUGGGGGAUUCCAUCUCCCCGCUCGGGACCACCAUCCUCCUUGUCACCAUCGGGGAGGAACGUCAUCCUCGACCUCCCGACACUCAACAAACUAAAAGCAGUAGUUUCCACCUACCACCGUGCCAUCAAAUUUCCAACUUCGGCGGGGCUCGGGGAAUCCCAAAGCAAUCUGGGAGAAUCAAGGCGGUUUUACCUUACGACGGUUACUCUCCUAGAGAAGUCAUGCCCCCAUCAAGUCCCGAAUUCCCAUGGAGAAGGUGUAACACCAACGCACCUGGAGCCCCCUGAGCAACUCACCGAAGUACCCUUGAAGAGGGACCGACCCGAUUUGAUCAUAAAAAUUGGGACAACACUCCCCGAAGCAAACCAGCUCCAGCUCAUCGAUUUCCUGAAGGAAAAUACCGAUAUGUUUGUGUGGUCCUCAAAGGAGAUGCCCGGAAUCGACCUAGGGGUAACCCAACACCACCUCAACAUCCACCCCGAGGCUAGGCCGGUGAAGCAAAAGUCAAGGAGGUUUGCUCCUCAUUGACAAAAGGCAAUCAGCGAUGAGGUCGACCACUAAAAGAGGCAAGAUUUAUAACCGGGGUGAAAUACCCUUGAUGGUUGUGUUGACUACACCGAUCUCAACCGAGCAUGCCCCAAAGAUUGCUAACCACUCCCGAGAAUAUAUCAGCUGGUCGAUGCCACCACAUGCUACGAACUCCUCAUGUUUAUUGAUGCAUUCUCGGGCUACAACCAGAUCCGGAUGGCACUACAAGACCAAGAGAACACUACCUUCAUCACCGAUAAAGGAGUGUAUUUCUACAAAGUGAUGCCUUUCGGCCCAAAAAUUAUCGGGACGACUUACCAAAGAAUGGUCGACAAGCUAUUCAAACAACAACUCGGGAGGAACAUGAAAGUGUACGUAAACGAUAUGAUCGUGAAGAGCAAGACAGCAAGCACACAUCUGGCCAACCUGGCGGAGACAUUCUGAAUGCUAAGGUGGUUCAACAUGCGUGAAUCCCUCGAAGUGUGUCUUCAGGGUUAGCUCGGGAAAAUUCCUCGGGUUCUCAUCCGCUAGAGAGGGAUAGAUGCCAACUCGAAAAAAGUUCAGGCCAUAACAGAGAUGCAGCCUCCUUGUUCGAUCAAGGAGGUGCAGCACCUCGCAAGAAAGCUAGCGGUGCUCAGCAGGUUCGUAUCGCGAUUAGGCGACAAGUGCCUCCCCUUCUUCCGAGCUCUUCGACAGGCCGACAGCUUCACAUGUACCUCGGAAUGUGAGGAAGUCUUCAAAAAGCUAAAGGCGUGUCGAGGCGCGAGAGUCAUCUUCUUCGCCUUCUUCUUCGAGUUGGUCGGUGGCUGAGGUGUGAGAGUCAUCUUCUGGGAGCUCGGGGGUAGAGGUUAUUUGCUCAUCUUCGGGGGGCGUGCCUUUGGAGGCCUCAAAGGGCUUUGCCGCACUUGAAACCAUCAAGUCGUGGCAUGACGUAGACUCGGUGGUGACCGAGGAACUUUUGGGGACGAUUCGGGAUUGCUACUGUAUCCCGAAGUGUUAUGGGAUUUAUGCUCCUCGGCCCGAUCAAUGACCAUAUGAUCCAUUUCCCGACGAAUUUGGGCUGACUGUGGGUGCCCUUGAGGCGGGACUACGGUUCCUGUUGUAUCCCGUCAUCGAGGAGUGCCUCCGUAAGUGGGAAAAAUCGUCGUCCCAAAUGGCGUUAAACUCUUGGUGCUAUAUAGUGGCUUUCCUCGGGGAGUGUCGGGGAGCAGGGAUCAAGCCGACCUGGACGUUCUUCUUGACUUGCUUCCGUCUAUGCAAGGGGCAAGGUGGGUAUCACUUGACCGCCCGUGGUGGUUUCAAGAUCAGCGACGCUCCUUUCAAUAAGGAAGAAUCACUAUUUCUUUAUCAGUUAUAGUCGGGGGUGAGGUUUCAAUAUUGAAUGGAUUUCUCAAACCAUCAACAAUGUCUCACCGUUUUUAAAUAUGCUCGUCCAAUUGAUUCUAAAUGUGCUCUAAAUGGCACAUCAGUUCACCGACAGAGGGGAAAAUGCUUCUAAAUGUGCUCGUCCAAUUGAUUCUCUUCUCGAUCUUGAUGUGCCAAUUGAUCAAACGCACAUGACGGUGUUCGUGAACAUACAUUGAAGAUCACGGAUGGAGUUUUUGGCUUGCCGGGGAUGGUGUGUAGAGAAACACACAAGGCCACCCUGUGAAGUCGAGAAGGGAAGGAAAGAUCCAACUGCAGGACAGUACCAACGGCUUGGCUUUUAUUCGCUGUACAGGUGAGGGAUGAGAUGGACGGAUGAUCUAAUAUUAUAUUGCAGUGUUGAGGGUAUCCAAUCAUUGUACGUCUGACAGUAGUCGUAGGAGUGCCCUAAAAUACAAAAACAGGAUGUGAUUAAGUAAUUUAGAAGUUGAUAAGAGUAGACUUGCCUCCGAUGUGCUAUCCAGACUUCAUCAACACAUAGUUAAUACCUUAGCAAUAUAAGGGUGACAGUUUAGUCGACAUUUCAACAUAAACUAUAUAGAACAUGAAGCUUUUCAACUCCCAACGAGUAUAAUACGAGGCGAUCUAGUAGAUUCAAUGAAUUUACUCUCUAAGUAAACCCAUAACUAUAUCUUUGAUUCUCAUUAUCAUUAUUCAAUUCCCUACAACUGUCUACUACACCAUACAAAAGCCCAAGUACGCUAUUGUAUAAAGCGACCAAGUCACAUCUCAUUCGUUUCAAGUAAAUCUGAUUUGGAUUACACUCUAAAGACUUGUCUUUAUCGAGUUUAUUAAUUUAAACAUUGAAAGGGUUUUAUCGGACAAGUUUGUUUUGUCUUCUAAAUUGAUGCUCGACGAUGGCAAGAGAGGGUUUGCUGCAGCCAUCAUUGUACUAUUCUGAUCCCAUCGUGAGGCAUGCGUGACCAACCAACCUUGCCCACAGAUGGUACUCGAUGCAGCCAUCCUUGUACUAUUCUGAUCCCAUCGAGAGGCAUGCGUGACCAACCAACCAUGCCCACAGAUGGUACUCGAUGCAGCCAUCACUAGCAUAGUAUGUCAACACGAUCUUGGGUAUCAUUUCUUACAAUAAUAAUAAUGAUAAGAACGUCGAGUCCCACGUUGAUGUUCUGGAAUCGACGUUCUUAUCGGUUUUCGUUAAAUUCAACUCGGCUCAUGUACGUAAUUGACAUAAAUGAGUCACAUUGGGUGCGUAUCUAAUUUUUUUUUGACUCUAAGCUCCUCUUAUUGCACGUCCAUGCAUCGAACGUAUAUCAAAGUAAUAUGGAUGACACAACACCGAGACUUUUAGGUAGACGUCUGUCGCAAACAUCCCCGAUUUCCUCAGAGACUUUGAGACGUGAAACUGACAACUCUUCUACCUCUCUCUAGGAAUUAAUCACCUAAUCUCCUUCUUGAAUCACGUGUUAUAUGACCAUCAACCAUCAGCCUUUAGCCGGCACCGAGACAAUGACAAUUAUGAGCCUUUUCAACACUUCAUAUCUUUCAGGAUUGCAUAGUCUCUUGCUUAGUCAACGUGCUUUAUCUCCCUUAUUUUAUAUGAUUUUUUUUCUGACACCUAAUUGUUACGUAAACCGUGAUCAAGCUAUAUAUAUAUAUAUAUAUAUAUACCUAGACCAACUCUGGACAAUCAUCAUGGCUGCUACACGCAUUGCCCUGUUCGCGUCCGGCCUCGCCGUCUUGCUUCUCCUGGUCCAAGGAUCGCCGCCAGGGCCCGUUGUCCAGUGCCGGUCCGGCAACACUAACUGCACCGUGACCAACGGCUAUGGGGCCUUCCCUGAUCGCAGCACCUGCCACGUCGCCGCGGUCGCGUACCCUAAGACCGAACAGGAGCUCCUGUUCGCUGUCUCCGGCGCCACCGCGAAGCAGCAGCACAUGAAGGCGGUCACGAGGUACUCCCACAGCAUCCCCAAGCUGUCGUGCCCCGGCGGGCCGAGUGGCCAGGGCCUGGUCAUUAGCACCCAGCGCCUCAACAGAUCGGUGCGCGUGGACAUGGCCACCUCGCGGAUGACGUUCGAGGCAGGGAUCACACUUAGGCAGCUCCUCGACGCGGCGGCCGCCCGUGGCCUGGCGCUGCCCCACUCGCCAUAUUGGCAAGGGGUGACGCUGGGAGGGCUGCUGAGCACCGGCUCGCACGGGAGCUCGUUGUUCGGGAAAGGCUCAGCGGUGCACGAAUAUGUGGUGGGGAUGANNNNNNNNNNNNNNNNNNNNNNNNNNNNNNNNNNNNNNNNNNNNNNNNNNNNNNNNNNNNNNNNNNNNNNNNNNNNNNNNNNNNNNNNNNNNNNNNNNNNNNNNNNNNNNNNNNNNNNNNNNNNNNNNNNNNNNNNNNNNNNNNNNNNNNNNNNNNNNNNNNNNNNNNNNNNNNNNNNNNNNNNNNNNNNNNNNNNNNNNNNNNNNNNNNNNNNNNNNNNNNNNNNNNNNNNNNNNNNNNNNNNNNNNNNNNNNNNNNNNNNNNNNNNNNNNNNNNNNNNNNNNNNNNNNNNNNNNNNNNNNNNNNNNNNNNNNNNNNNNNNNNNNNNNNNNNNNNNNNNNNNNNNNNNNNNNNNNNNNNNNNNNNNNNNNNNNNNNNNNNNNNNNNNNNNNNNNNNNNNNNNNNNNNNNNNNNNNNNNNNNNNNNNNNNNNNNNNNNNNNNNNNNNNNNNNNNNNNNNNNNNNNNNNNNNNNNNNNNNNNNNNNNNNNNNNNNNNNNNNNNNNNNNNNNNNNNNNNNNNNNNNNNNNNNNNNNNNNNNNNNNNNNNNNNNNNNNNNNNNNNNNNNNNNNNNNNNNNNNNNNNNNNNNNNNNNNNNNNNNNNNNNNNNNNNNNNNNNNNNNNNNNNNNNNNNNNNNNNNNNNNNNNNNNNNNNNNNNNNNNNNNNNNNNNNNNNNNNNNNNNNNNNNNNNNNNNNNNNNNNNNNNNNNNNNNNNNNNNNNNNNNNNNNNNNNNNNNNNNNNNNNNNNNNNNNNNNNNNNNNNNNNNNNNNNNNNNNNNNNNNNNNNNNNNNNNNNNNNNNNNNNNNNNNNNNNNNNNNNNNNNNNNNNNNNNNNNNNNNNNNNNNNNNNNNNNNNNNNNNNNNNNNNNNNNNNNNNNNNNNNNNNNNNNNNNNNNNNNNNNNNNNNNNNNNNNNNNNNNNNNNNNNNNNNNNNNNNNNNNNNNNNNNNNNNNNNNNNNNNNNNNNNNNNNNNNNNNNNNNNNNNNNNNNNNNNNNNNNNNNNNNNNNNNNNNNNNNNNNNNNNNNNNNNNNNGAUGAGGCUGGUGGUUCCACGUCCGGUCCCGGUGAACGGAUACUACGCCAAGAUCGUUAACCUUGGUGAGGAUGAUCCUGAUCUCUUGGCUGCCAAGGUUUCUCUCGGUGUUCUCGGAGUUAUUUCUCAGGUAUAUAUGUGGUGGCGAACGUGUUAUUCUUUGUUCUUUACACAGUUUGAGAUCCAUGUGAUAACUCAUCUUGGUUCUUCAUGGUGGUUCUUCCAACCACGUCAAGUACUUUCAUAAACUGAGUACAGGACUUGCCACGUCUCGAUGCUAAUUAGGUGCAACUAUAUCUUUAAUUCUUCAUGUUAUAAUAGAGAUCAUCCUAUUGUUAUAAGCAAGGCUUUGUUUGCACUACGUCAGCAAAAUGUCUAGACAAAAAAAAAGAAAAACUUGUUUUCUAUCAAAUCACUUUACAAAGGAGAAGACCUGUUCUUUACCUAGAAUCUAGAAAGUAAUGUUAAAUAAUAGGCAGUUGAUGAUCCCAGUGGACUUUAGUUUUAAUCUUUUCCUUCUUUUCUUGCUUUGCGUGUCUUCCUUGUUGGGCUAAUGCAAACCUUUGAAUCGUUCUAAUGAUUCCAUGUACCUGCACUCGUAGUUUAUAGUAACUACACGACGCAAUUGAGUGUUAUGGAACAUAUGAGCACAUGCAAACCCACACGGACAAAGAUCAGAGAAAAAGCAAACUUAUAUGAGAGCGAGUGCAUGAUUUGAAGCUUUGCAUGUAGUUAUAUCUUAUAAUGAAUAGUAUUUUCCUUGUAAGAACAGCUACAGUGACGUUGAUGAUGGCUCGGUGUAAAUGAGAGUGGCCCUUCACAUACGGAGCCUCGCGCAAGGCAAGAGGCAGGCAGGUCCAUACUGCCUUGCCUUGCAGAGCUUACAACCGGGCCCACUAAUUACAUCGGACGAUAGGGGAUGCCAAUAGUAGUAGUUCUUGUUUCAAUCUUGUUGCCUGAAUUGCUGAAAAGAGUUGACAUGCAAUACAUGUAAGCUUUUGUUCUGCUGCUUCAUGAGAAGUAAUCUACGAAUUUCUUGAACCGAUCGACCAGGUCACCCUCCAACUUGAGCCAAUGUUCAAGCGAUCCAUCACCCACAGGGUCAUAGGCGACGUUGGCUUCGAGCAAACCAUCUCCUCGUACGCUGUCACUACGUACUAUGGAGACAUCAGCUGGUUUCCGUCACAAGGCAGAGUGGUGUACCGCGAUGAUAUCAAGGUCCCCAUCACCACCAAAGGAAAGGGUGAAAACGAUUUGCUAGUGUUUCGAGCGCAGUCCUCCAUCGACGUAGUCUCUGCACGUGCUUCAGGUCUUAUAUAUUGCAGCUUUUAUUUUGCUUGACAAUCUUGAUGUAGUGUUCGAGCAGUCUCGUACGAGAUUUAUACUAACAAGGCAUCUCUUGUCCUCUACCAUGUGUUUGUGUUUAUGACUGCAGAGGAACUAUUGGAAUUAACAGGAAAUGCCGGAGGCAAAUGCGUGCUUUCCAGAUCGCAAGUAGAUACUCAGAUCGAGAACGGCAUGGGGCUUAAGAACAAUGACGGCGGCUUGUCAGAUUUCACCGGCUAUCCGGUCAUUGGAAACCAAAGCGACAUGCAAUCCUCCGGUAGGUCCUCCAAUUAUCCGAAGAAUAUAUAUGAUGACACAUGUAACACCUGAAUUAAUUAGUCUGAACCAUCAUCUCUCCAGGUUCGUGCCUAAGGAGUGCAGAAGACAACCUUCUCACAGCCUGUGGAUUUGACCCUCGCUUUGCGGGGUCCUUCUACCACCAAACCGCGAUAAGCAUCCCCUUCACCACCGUUGCAGACUUCAUCGCCGACGUCAAGAAGCUCCGCGACGCCCACUCCAACGCACUCUGCGGCACCGAGCUGUACUUUGGCUUCUUCAUGCGCUUUCUCCGCAACUCCACGGCCUAUCUUGGNNNNNNNNNNNNNNNNNNNNNNNNNNNNNNNNNNNNNNNNNNNNNNNNNNNNNNNNNNNNNNNNNNNNNNNNNNNNNNNNNNNNNNNNNNNNNNNNNNNNNNNNNNNNNNNNNNNNNNNNNNNNNNNNNNNNNNNNNNNNNNNNNNNNNNNNNNNNNNNNNNNNNNNNNNNNNNNNNNNNNNNNNNNNNNNNNNNNNNNNNNNNNNNNNNNNNNNNNNNNNNNNNNNNNNNNNNNNNNNNNNNNNNNNNNNNNNNNNNNNNNNNNNNNNNNNNNNNNNNNNNNNNNNNNNNNNNNNNNNNNNNNNNNNNNNNNNNNNNNNNNNNNNNNNNNNNNNNNNNNNNNNNNNNNNNNNNNNNNNNNNNNNNNNNNNNNNNNNNNNNNNNNNNNNUGUGUCACUUCCUCUUUGAAUAAACGACGUAAUGUCAGUCAAUAAUUGCUACAUAAUAUUAUAUUGUAAUAUUAAAGCAAGGGUCGACAAAUGCUAUAUUGUAUGGGAGGCUGAUUACGUUCCUUCUGAUUUAUCUGUACUGGUCCAAGAUGACUUAUACAAGCCAUUCUAUGGAACUAUAAUGUCUUAAUCAAUUUCUUUAUGGGAAAACAAUUAGUGCAUAAUUUCUCAUUAUUUUUAAUAGCAAGAUCCCAAUGUGACUCGCCAGUAUCCGUUGCAUGAAAGGGACGAGGUAGCAAGAAAUAACGGUGCCAUUAUUAGUGCCAUCGUGUGGAGAGACAUAGUAUGUUAACGUGAUAUUCUUCGCUGUUGCUAAAGGAUGAAUAUCUAGAUCCAUUCGAUUAUGAGUUAUAUACGACUUACGAGUCUUACAUUCAUGAAAAAUUAACCAACUCUCUAUUUAGUGGAAUGAGAGAGAGAAUUAUUGAGUUGCUGGAACUUAUACAUAGUGAUGCAUGUGGUCCUGUGUUUAUUCAUGCCAUAAAAGGUUAUUCUUAUUUUAUUAUAUUUACUGAUGAUUUCUUUAUAUAUGAACAAGUAUACUUGAUGAAAUACAAGUCCAAGACCUUCUAGAAAUUCAAAAAUAUAAGAAUAGUGUAGAAAAUUAGAUUGGAAAGAGUAUCAAGACUCUUCAAUCAAAUCGAGAAGGUGAGUACUUAAGUGUAAAGUUUACACAGUUCCUCAAGGAUCAUGAGAUUCUAUCUCAAUGGAUACCUCAUUAUACACCUCAACUCAAUAGUAUAUUGGGAACGAGGAAUCGCAUGUUGGCACGCUAUUAAAAAUGGUGUGGUCUAUGAUGAGUUUCGCCAGCCUACCCAUCUCAUUCUAAGGAUAUGCCUUAGAGUCUGCAGCUUGCCUUCUGAACAGAAUUCCGAUUAAGUCGGUAGUGUCUACACUAUAUGAGAUAUAGAAAGGGAAGAAGUCUGAUCUUAAGGUUGUUAAGAUUUGAAGCUGCCCUGCCCACGUUAGAACAUACAACCCCGACAAAUUGAAAUCUAGGACGGAACGAUGCAAAUUCAUAGGAUAGCCUGAGAAACCUUGUGGGUAUUAUUUCUAUCAUCUCGAGGACUAAAAAGUCUUUGUAGCUAAGAGGGUAGUAUUCCUUGAGAAAAAACACAUUCUCGGUAGAGAAAAUAAGAGCAUGAUAGAGUUGAGUGAGGUUUGAGAACCACAACCCGAGUUUGUUUAGAUACAUAGCACAUAAAUUUUGACUUUAUGUAGGUCCAACAUAGUACCCCAUCCUCCUAAAAGAUAUGUGAGAUAUAUCAAAAGAGAUGAUGUUGAGGAUAUUGAUCUUUAGAUCUAUGAUGAGGCUAUUAUAAGUAUAGACUCCGUGAAGUGGCAAGAAGCAUGAACUCUAAGAUGGAUUCCAAGUAUUUCAAAAAGGUUUAGAACUUAGUUGAUGCACCUGAGGGUAUGUACCCAUUGGUUGUAAGUGUAUCUUUCAGAAGAUGAUUGGAGUAAAUAGAAAGGUGAAGAUCUAUAAAGAAAAGCUAGUGGUUAAGGGAUAUCAUCAAAGGUAAGGUGUUGACUAUGAUGAAACAUUCUCACUUAUAGUUAUGCUAAAAUUUAUUCGAAUUCUAUCGGUUAUUGCAACAUUCUAUGAAUAUGAGAUCUAGUAGAUGGACAUGAAAAUCAUGUUUCUCAACAACAACUUCGAGAAGGAGAUGUAUAUAAUAUAAUAUAAGAGAUUUGUGUCCAAAGAAUAUCCGUAUAAUAUGUGUAGGUUGCUUAAGUUCAUUUAUAAACUAAAGCAAGCUUUCCGAAAUUGGAACAUGAGGUUUGAUGAGACGAUCAAAUCUUAUUAUUUCGUUAAGAAUGAAGAUGAGCCUUGAGUGUAUAGGAAGACAAGUGAGAGUGCUAUCAACUUCUUAGUACUAUAUAUGGAUGACAUUCUGAUCAUUGAGAAUGAUAUAUGAAUGCUCUUCAUGGUAAAAGCUUAGUUAUCUAGACAUUUUUUCAUAAAAGACUCAGGGGAAGUAUCAUAUAUCUUGGCGAUUCAGAUCUAUAGAGAUAGAUCUAAGAGAAUACUUGACUUGUCUCAAUUUAAGUAUAUAGACAUCAUUAUCAAAAAGUUUAACAUGAAAAAAUCUAAAAGAUCUCUCGUAUCGAUGAGAUAUGAGAUAUCACUUUCUAGGAGCAUGUCACUAAAUACUUUUGAAGAAAGGGCAAACUUAGAUAGGAUACCCUAUGCCUUAGGAUCUAUCAUGUAUAUUAUGUUAUAUAUCAUGCUUGAUAUAACGUAUGCUUUAUGUGUUACAAGUAAAUAUUAGGUGGAUCCAGGUUUAAAACAUUGGAAUGUAGUAAAAUAUAUAUUUAAAUACUUGAGAAGGACUAAGGAUCUUUUACUGGUAUAUAGAUGAAGUAGCCUCAGGGUUGAGGGUUAUAGAGACUUGAGUUUCCAAUCCGAUGUUGAUAAUAAUAAGUCUAAUUUAAGGUAUAUGCCCUAAAUAGAGGAGUAGUAUGCUAGAAAAGUUUCAAGCAAGAUACUACUACUGACUCGACCAUAGAAGCGGAGCACAUUACUGUAAUAAAAGCAACGAAAGAAAGAGUUUGAAUGAAAAAGUUCAUUACAGAUCUGAGCCACAAAGGCAGUAGUGGCCCACAUGCCACCUUGUUCUUUACACAAGGGUUAUGAGUGAAGUACACAUAGGUAGGGCCAUAGUGCUAGUCAUAGGUGUCGUACAAGCCAAUCAUGUGAGUGAUGAUACAUAUGACAUGAUACGUACUCUUUUUACUUAUUAUUUUUUUUAUAUUUUUCUUACUUUAUGUUGCAUGUUGCAUGUAUAUUGAUGUCUACGAAUAUGCACAAUGAGAAUUAAAUUGUGAUAAGAUCACAAUAAUAAGAUCGAUUCACCUUUAAAUAUAGACCAUAAAAAAUCAUAAUUAUAGGUUACUCGAAAGUGACAUCGAAAUAACUGGACAGAUUGGUGUAUUGUAUACCUUUCUAUAUGAUGGAGAUAGUUGGUUUUAUAGUUUCUUGUGUGAGGACACUAGGGAUAUAGUACAAGUAUUAAUUGAAGAAUGAGUUUACUGAUUGAUCCACUCACGAAAUACUGGAUGGUUGAUGAUACCUCAUUGGGUGUAACAACCAAUCUUAGUAGGCUAAUUGAGUAUCGAUAGAGGAUUAUCCACUCUCGGUAUCAUGAGAGAAAUAUUAUAUAUAUUCUUACUUAAGUAAAUCCCUAGUUAGGAUUAUUCGAAUUGAGAGAGAAAAAGUCUUUCGAGAGAAUUCGAUUAGAGCGAGACUCGAGUAAAAACUGUAUAGGCCUAAUAGCACCAUGAUCGGUAUAUGGUCUAUGAGAUAUUAGAAAGAUAAGAGACUAUAGAUACAUGGUAAUUGAGGACAAAUAGGUCCAAUGGAUUGGAUUCUCUUAUAACAUUUGAGGACUGCGACGUAGUGGCCUAGUAUGUUCAUAGUCGAUAAAUCAAGUGAAUUAUUAUAAAAGAUAAUAAUUCACUAAAUCAUAAGGAGUUCUAAUAUGACUCACGAUUAACUCAAUAUUGGGCCUAGAGGGUCACACAUAUAUGAUAGAUGUUGGAACAAACAAAGGUUCGGACAUGAGAUAUCCGUUGAAGCCCCUAUCUUAUUGGAUAUCCAGUAAUCCCUUGAAUUAUUGAAUAUCCAGUAAGUCCAUGAAUUAUUGGAUCUUGUACUCACUUUUGUAGGGGGAGCUGUGUCAUGGCAAUCCACAUUAUAAAGGCGUAGUGCUCUCUCCACCAAAGAGACAAAAUAUAUUGCUGCAGAGGUUUGCAAAAAAAUAUUAUGAAUAAAAUUUUUUUUACAAGAAUUGAAGCUGAAAUAAAAAAAGUUAUGUGGUAUAUUGUGAUAGCUAGAGUGCCAUCCACGUAUGUAAGAAUCCCAUUUUUUAUUCCAAGUUAAAGUAUAUAGAUGUUAGAUACCACUAAAAUUAAAAUAUAUUUAAAGAGAAGCAGUUGUAACAUCAGAAAAUUCAUAUAAAUGAUAACGGGACAAACAUGUUGACAAAGAUUUUGCUGAAAGAAAGAUAAGAAAUGUGCCGACGAUUGGUCGACAUGACUUCAUAUUUAAGAGCUGAAGGGGGAGGUUAUUGGGCACAUACCCAUUAAUUAAGUCCAUAGUAGACCUUAAUAAUGCAUAGCUCAAAACAACUAUUUAACCAUUUCUCUUUUACAAGGCAAAAAGGGGACUUGCUGUUGUUGUGGGCAUGGUUGAAAAAAGAAAAUUACAACAGUGGUGGUUGAGAGAAAAAAAGACAAGACAAUGUAGAAAUCGUUUUCAAUUAUCUGCGCACUAUUCUAGUCUCAGAUUUGAUCAGACUUGUAACAGAUUUUUAUUAUGAUUAUGAAAGGAAUGAGGUUUUAGAUAAUGUAAUCUUUGUAUUCUUAUUAUUCUCUUAUGAUUAUUGCUCAAAUCUAAGAUUUAUAAUAGAUUUAUACAUUCACUAUCGAGAUUUAUAUAUUUAUUAUUUUUAUAAUAGAUUUACUUCUUGGCUUACCAUAUGAUUUUUUUUUUCAUUUGUAUCGAAGAGGAUUUUUACAUACAUUUUGAUGUUCUAUGUGACUAAUUUUCGUUUAAUUUUUUUACUGCUUAUUACGAUCUACUCGUAUUUAUUCAUAUAUAAGUUUUUUUUACCCAUCAUAUUCCAAAAUAAUGAAGUUGGCUUCAUGCUACUAAUUUCUUUGACGGGAAAUGCGUCUAAAUGUGCUCGUCCAACUGAUGCUUUCUCAAUCUUGAUGUUCCAAUUGAUCAAACGCACAUUCGGUGUUCGUGAACAUACGUUGAAGAUCGCGGAAGGGGUUUUUUUGGCUUGCUGUGGAUUGUGUUGAGAAACACACGAGGCCAGAGAAGUCCCUGUGAAGUUGCGAAGGCAAGGGAAGAUAAUAGUGCAGGACAUUACCAAUGGCUUGGCUUUUAUUCCCUGUAAAGGCGAGGGAUGAGAUUGACUGAUGAUCUAAUAUUAUAUUGCAGUGUUGAGGGUGUCCAAUCAUCGGAGGUCUGACAGUAGCUGAAGGUGUGCCUUAAAAAACAAAAAACAGCAUGUCAGUAUGACAUGUCCUAUAAACAAUAAAAAAAAACUUUGUCAGUACGUGAUUAAGUUAAAAAAAAUAAAAAAGGUAUGUGAUUAAGUAAUUUAGUAGUUGAUAAGAGUAGACUGGCCUCUGAUGUGCUAUCCAGACUUCAUCAACCCAUGGUCAAUACCUUGGCAAUAUAAGGGUGACAGUUCAGCAACAUGUAGUCGGCUUUUCAACAUAAAAUAGAUAGGACAUGAAGCUUUUCAACUCCCAAUGUGUAAUAUGAGGCGGCCUCAUAGAUUCAAUGAAUUUACUGUCUACGUAAACUCAUAACUAUAUCUUUGAUUCUCAUGAUCAUUAUUCAAUUCCCUACAACUGUCUACUACACCAUAAAAAUAAACCUGAUUUGGAUUACACUCUAAAGACUUAUUUUUAUUAAGUUUAUUAAUUUAAGCAUUGAAAUAAUUUUAUCCUAUAUAGUCCCGAGUGAAUGGAUUUGAAGUUCAUUAUUCUUCUUAUAAUAUUCUUAGAAAAAAAGGUUCAUGGAUUUGAGUUAUCCUCUAGUCCGACAAUCAAAAUUCAUUGUAAUAUUAUAAAAUAAAAAUAAAGUAUGUGUCAAUUUUGAGUUUGUUUUGUCUAUGCUCGACGAUAGCAAGAGGGAGGGUUUGCUGCAGCCAUCCUUCUACUAUUUUGAUCCCAUCGUAAGGCAUGCAUGACCAACCAACCUUGCCCAAGAUAGUACUCCAUGCAACCAUCACUAGCAUAGUAUGUCAACACGAUCUUGGAUAUCAUUUCUUACGAUAAUAAUAAUGAUAAGAAUGUUGCGUCCCACGUUGAUGUUCUUGUCGGUUUUCUUAAAAUUCAACUCGGCUCACUUACGUGAUUGACAUAAAUGAGUCACAAUGGGUGCGUAUCUAAUUUUUUUUACUCUAAGCUCCUCUUAUUGGACGUCCAUGCAUCGAUAAGUAUAUCUAAGCAAUAUGGAUGACACGGCACCGAGACUUUUACGUAGACGUCUCUCGCACAUCAUCGCCGAUUUCCUCAGAGACUUUGAGACGCAAAACUGACAACUCUUCUACCUCUCUCUAUGAAUUAAGUACUUAAUCUCGUUCUUGCAUCACGCAGCCUUUACCCGGAACCGAGACAUUGACAAUUAUGAGCCAUAUCAACACUUCAUAUUUUUCAGGAUUGCAUAAUCUCUUGCUAAGUCAACGUGCUUUAUCUCCCUUAUUUUAUAUGAUUUUUUUCGGACACCUAAUUGUUACGUAAACCGUGAUCAAGCUAUCUAUCGAAUUUAACCUAUAUAUAUAUAUACCCAGACCAACUCUGGACAAUCAUCAUGGCUGCUACACGCAUUGCCCUGUUCGCGUCCGGCCUCGCCGUCUUGCUUCUCCUAGUCCAAGGAUCGCCACCAGGGCCCGUUGUCCAGUGCCGGUCCGGCAACACUAACUGCACCGUGACCAACGGCUAUGGAGCCUUCCCUGAUCGCAGCACCUGCCACGUCGCCGCGGUCGCGUACCCUUCGACCGAACAGGAGCUCCUGUUCGCUGUCUCCGACGCCACCGCGAAGCAGCAGCACAUGAAGGCGGUCACGAGGUACUCCCACAGCAUCCCCAAGAUGUCGUGCCCCGGCGGGCCGAGUGGCCAGGGCCUGGUCAUUAGCACCCAGCGCCUCAACAGAUCGGUGAGCGUGGACAUGGCCACCUCGCGGAUGACGUUCGAGGCAGGGAUCACACUUAGGCAGCUCCUCAACGCGGCGGCCGCCCGUGGACUGGCGCUGCCCCACUCGCCGUAUUGGCAAGGGGUGACGCUGGGAGGGCUGCUGAGCACCGGCUCGCACGGGAGCUCGUUGUUCGGGAAAGGCUCAGCGGUGCACGAAUAUGUGGUGGGGAUGAGGCUGGUGGUUCCAAGUCCGGUCCCGGUGAACGGAUACUACGCCAAGAUCGUUAACCUUGGUGAGGAUGAUCCUGAUCUCUUGGCUGCCAAGGUUUCUCUCGGUGUUCUCGGAGUUAUUUCUCAGGUAUAUAUGUAGUGACCUAAGUGUUAUUCUUUGUUCUUUACACAGUUUGAGAUCCAUGUGAUAACUCAUCUUAGUUCUUCAUCGUGGUUCUUCCAACCACGUCAAGUACUUUCAUGAACUGAGUGCAUGACUUGCCACGCCUCGAUGCUAACUAGGUGCAACUAUUUCUUUAAUUCUUCAUGAUAUAAUAGAGAUCAUCCUAUUGUUAUUAACAAGGCUUUGUUUGCAAUACGUCAGCAAAAUGUCUAGACAAAAAAAAAAUGUUUUCUACAAAUCACUUUACAAAGGAGAAGACCUGUUCUUUUCCUAGAAUCUAGAAAGUAAUGUAAAAUAAUAGGCAGUCGAUGAUCCCAGUGGACUUUAGUUUUAAUCUUUCCAUUUUUUCUUGGUUUGCUCGACUUCCUUGUUUCAAAAUGGGCUAAUGCAAACCUUUGAACCGUUCUAAUGAUUCCAUAUAGCUUCUCUCGUAGUUUAUAGUAACUACACAACACAAUUGAGUGUUAUGAAACAUAUGAGCACAUGCAAACCCACAUGGACAAAGAUCAGAGAAAAAGCAAACUUAUAUGAGAGCGAGUGCAUGAUUUGAAGCUUUGCAUUUACUUACAUCUUAUAAUGAAUAGUAUUUUCCUUGUAAGAACACCUACAGUGACGUUGAUGAUGGCUCGGUGUAAAUGAGAGUGGCCCUUCACAUACGGAGCCUCGCGCAAGGCAAGAGGCAGGCAGGUCCAUACUGCCUUGCCUUGCAGAGCUUACGACCGGGCCCACUAAUUGCCUUCAAAGCCUCUGUAAAAAGAACUACUACAUCGGACGAUAGAGGAUCCUAGUAGUAGUAUCUCUUGUUUCAAUCUUGUUGCCUGAAUAGCUGAAAAGAGUUGACUUGCAAUACAUGUAAGCUUUUGUUCUGCUGCUUCAUUAUAAGUAACCUAAGAAAUUACUUGAACCGAUCGAGCAGGUCACCCUCCAACUUGAGCCAAUGUUCAAGCGAUCCAUCACCAACAGGGUCGUAGGCGACGUUGGCUUCGAGCAAACCAUCUCCUCGUACGCUGUCACCACGUACUAUGGAGACCUCAGCUGGUAUCCGUCACAAGGCAGAGUGGUGUACCGCGAUGAUAUCAAGGUCCCCAUCACCACCAAAGGAAAGGGUGUAAACGAUCACCUUUUCCUUCGAGCACAGCCCACCCUCGACGUAGCCUCUACACGUGCUUCAGGUCUUAUAUAUUGCAGCUUUUAUUUUGCUUGACAAUCUUGAUGUAGUGUUCGAGCAGUAUCGUACGAGAUUUAUACUGACAAGGCAUCUCUUGUCCUCUACCAUGUGUUUGUGUUUAUGACUGCAGAGGAACUAUUGGAAUUAACAGGAAAUGCCGGAGGCAAAUGCGUGCUUUCCAGAUCGCAUGUAGAUACUCAGAUCGCGAACGGCAUGGGGCUUAAGAACAAUGACGGCGGCUUGUCAGAUUUCACCGGCUAUCCAGUCAUUGGAAACCAAAGCGACAUGCAAUCCUCCGGUGGGUUCUCCAAUUAUCCGAAGAAUGUAUAUGAUGACACAUGUUACACCUGUAUUCUGUAUUAUUUAGUCUGAGGCAUCUUCUCUCCAGGUUCGUGCCUAAGGAGUGCAGAAGACAACCUUCUCACAGCCUGUGCAUGGGACCCUCGCUUUGCGGGGUCCUUCUACCACCAAACCGCGAUAAGCAUCCCCUUCACCACCGUUGCAGACUUCAUCGCCGACGUCAAGAAGCUCCGCGACGCCCACCCGAACGCACUCUGCGGCACCGAGCUGUCCUUGGGCUUCUUCAUGCGCUUCCUCCGCAACUCCACGGCCUAUCUUGGNNNNNNNNNNNNNNNNNNNNNNNNNNNNNNNNNNNNNNNNNNNNNNNNNNNNNNNNNNNNNNNNNNNNNNNNNNNNNNNNNNNNNNNNNNNNNNNNNNNNNNNNNNNNNNNNNNNNNNNNNNNNNNNNNNNNNNNNNNNNNNNNNNNNNNNNNNNNNNNNNNNNNNNNNNNNNNNNNNNNNNNNNNNNNNNNNNNNNNNNNNNNNNNNNNNNNNNNNNNNNNNNNNNNNNNNNNNNNNNNNNNNNNNNNNNNNNNNNNNNNNNNNNNNNNNNNNNNNNNNNNNNNNNNNNNNNNNNNNNNNNNNNNNNNNNNNNNNNNNNNNNNNNNNNNNNNNNNNNNNNNNNNNNNNNNNNNNNNNNNNNNNNNNNNNNNNNNNNNNNNNNNNNNNNNNNNNNNNNNNNNNNNNNNNNNNNNNNNNNNNNNNNNNNNNNNNNNNNNNNNNNNNNNNNNNNNNNNNNNNNNNNNNNNNNNNNNNNNNNNNNNNNNNNNNNNNNNNNNNNNNNNNNNNNNNNNNNNNNNNNNNNNNNNNNNNNNNNNNNNNNNNNNNNNNNNNNNNNNNNNNNNNNNNNNNNNNNNNNNNNNNNNNNNNNNNNNNNNNNNNNNNNNNNNNNNNNNNNNNNNNNNNNNNNNNNNNNNNNNNNNNNNNNNNNNNNNNNNNNNNNNNNNNNNNNNNNNNNNNNNNNNNNNNNNNNNNNNNNNNNNNNNNNNNNNNNNNNNNNNNNNNNNNNNNNNNNNNNNNNNNNNNNNNNNNNNNNNNNNNNNNNNNNNNNNNNNNNNNNNNNNNNNNNNNNNNNNNNNNNNNNNNNNNNNNNNNNNNNNNNNNNNNNNNNNNNNNNNNNNNNNNNNNNNNNNNNNNNNNNNNNNNNNNNNNNNNNNNNNNNNNNNNNNNNNNNNNNNNNUGUGUCGCUUCCUCUUUGAAUAAAAGACGUAAUGUCAGUCAAUAAUUGCUACAUAAUAUUAUAUUGUAAUAUUAAAGCAAGGGUCGACAAAUGCUAUAUUGUAUGGGAGGCAGAUUACGUUCCUUCUGAUUUAUCUGUACUGGUCCAAGAUGACUUAUACAAGCCAUUCUAUGGAAAACAAUUAGUACAUAAUUUCUCAUUAUUUUUAAUAGCAAGAUCCCAAUGUGACUCUCCAGUAUCCGUUGCAUGAAUGGGACGAGGAAGCAAGAAAUAACAGCGCCGUUAUUAAUGCCAUCGUGUGGAGAGAUAUAGUACGUUAACGCGAUAUUCUUCGCUAUCGCUCCUUAAAAUAAUAAUGAUGAUUAAUGAUAAUAUAGCCUAAGACUCACGUAAAUGUUCUGAUGAAUUUUACAUAAAUUACACUUGACCCACGUUUCAUGGCAUAAAUGAAAUGGUAGUUCACACCGGUUCCAUUUCAAAAUUUUGACUCAAAGCUCGUCCUAUGGAUCGCUAGAAUAAACCAUAUGAUAAGCUACAUAAAUACGGAAAUCACAAAGAAGGAUGAUUACUGUAAUUAUGCCUUCCUCGAUCCCCCCAACCCCAAGAAACUAUUGCUCUCUAUAAAUAACUCUAGGGCGCAGCAUCCAAUCAUUGGUUUGUUCCUUUCUCAUCCUCGCAGUAUAAUUUAGAGAUAGGAAGUGGUCGCACCAUGAUCGAGGGAAACAGCAGCGAGAGCAAGCUGAGCCAAUACAUCCGGUCCCCGACCGGGCGCUCCGGCAUGCACGGGACUUGUACGAGAGCAGCAUGGCCGGGACCGAUAAUAUAUGUAUACAUGUCUUGUGAUAAUCUCACGUAAGCUCAUUCAUCUACACAAAAUAACUAGUUUUAGAUCGGGCAAGACAUCCAGAAGUAUUGAUUGUUUAAUAGACGACAGUGUUUAUUUAUGUGCGUGCUUGUUUUCAUCUUAAAAAAAGGAAAUGGCGAAUUCCUAAAACAAUUAUCAACUUUAAGAAUUUUUCAAAUAGCAUUAUAGCAAUUUUUUUAAGACAGAUCAUUCUACCUCUAUCGGCCAUCAUCUUCGCCUUCACAUUGCCAUCGUUGCAGUCCCCCAUAGCCCUCACGCUAGGAAAAUUGGAUUGCGAGGGCCAUUAAUUUCUUCCUGCACCACCUCCCCUCCCCUCUGCUGUAUUAGGCCAAUCAUAUGCAGUCUUCAUGCGAGGAAGGAAGAGACAUGAGAGGAGUCAUCGCCUUUGUAGACUCACCCCUAUACACUUCGCUCGUAGCUCUCGUGUGAGGAAGAACAUGGUGGGAGGGUGGCACCUUCGCAGAUUUGGCCCCUGUCAAACCCAUCAUAAUCUAAUUUAGAUUAUACUAUAAAGACUUAGACUUUUACUGAGUCAACUGAAUCUUUUGAUAAUGCAAAUAUUAUAUAGGUCUUAUCAGGUAUGUUCUCAUAUCUUUUGACAAUACAAACAUUAUAUGGGCAUGUUCUCAGUUCAAUAUUGUAGUUUUGCAAGUCUGAUGUGAGUAGAUUUGGUGUUCUACCUGGUUCUUUUUAUGAAAUUUUUGAAAAAAAAAAUCUAUCUAAUAUGUAUUGUCAAAACAUAAACAUAAUCUAAAAGUAUCUCUUAGAUAUCUUAAUAUCUAUUUUACUAUUAUCUAAUAUUCUUUAUCAAGAUUAGAGAGAAAUGAACUGACAACUCGAACUGCAUGAGCUAUAUCUAGCCUAGUACAUAUCAUAAUAUACAUCAAACUAUUUACCGCAAAUGAAUAAGGCACUUUGAAUAUUUCUUCUUUUUCUUUCUCACUUGUAGGAUCUCACUUAUAGGAUAUUGUUUCGAACUAAGUAUAAAAUGACCUACAAGUGGAGAACAAACUAGUUAAGUUUUAUUUAUUUUAAAAUUUUCAAGAAUAUUUUUAAUAUAGGACUCUUGAGAUAGCCAAAUCAUUCCAUUCUACACCCACACACACACGAACCUCCAAGAGUUCUAGUUUGUAUACUACAAACAUCAGUAAACCAAAUCAAUAACAUUUGAUAUUCUAAAUGAUGAAUAAGUAUGAAAGGUAACUAUAUAUUUUUUUUCUACUAAGCAAUGAUCACAAGAUUUAAAAGAUGUAUCUUACAACUCUGGUAAGAACUAUUUUCUAGCAAGAGUUUGAAGUCCUUUCUUGCUGAUAUGACCAAGCCUCUUAUGCCAAAGAUUUAUACUUUCACCCUUUUGAAUUGCAUUAAUCUCUCCUUUAUAUAGCUUAGCUUCUAUGACAUAGAAAGAGUUUAGCUUCUUUACUCUCAUCACAACUAGAUAACUUUUGGUAAGCUUUCAUUUGCUUUCACCAAAAUAGUGUACAAAUCUCUCAUCACCAAGUCUAUAUAUAGAUAUCAAGUUAAGACGAAUAUCUGAAACAUAUCUAACAUAUUUGAGUAUCAAUUUGCUCUCAAUAUUGGUCUCUAACCAAAUAUCUCAAAUACCCAUAAUCUUUGACGUACUAUUAUUUCCUAUUUUAAUAUUACUAAAAUCAUCAAAAGUGUAAGAUACGAAGAAAUCAUUAUAAGAAAUAAUAUGGAAUGAAGCACCGGAGUUAAUUACCCAGUUACUGUUCUAAGCUGCAAGACUGAUACAUCUGUCAUCACAAACAAUAACGAUAUCACCUUUAAUAACAACUGUAUUGUGUCUCUUUCUUAUUUUUCUUCCUUUCAUUCUGUUCUCACUUUCAAAACCUAUACUCUUUUUUCAUAUAACCUGACCUGUUAUAGUAGAAACACUUGAUAUCUCUUCUAGACUUAAAUCUUCCUCUGUAACCAUGUAGAUUUUUACUAUGACUUCUUUCAUGUCUUUCUUAUUUUUCAAUAACAAGUGUACUAGAAGAAGAUUCUCCUUGUUCAUUCCUUUUGACAUCUUUAUUAAGAAAAUUAUCUUUAACAUGUCUAUGGUUAGAGUCUCUUUUGGCAUGAAGUAAAAAUUGUCACCACGUACGUUUCCUAACUUUGUGGAAAAGAGCUGAGAAGUAACAAUCCUUAUAUCUCAUUAUCUAUAUUCAUUUUUAUAGCAACUAACUUAUUUGUAAGACUCUGAAACAAGCUUAUGUGCUCAACAAUAUUGCCACCAUUUUCACAAAGAGAUUUUCUAAUCUUUACCAAACAACAUCAGCUUUGGUUUCAUAAAUAAUAUGCUUAUGUAAAUUUAUAUGCAUCCAUUUUCUAAUAUACGUAAUAGUUUUUGUAUAUUGAUCCUUCCAUUCCUCAUCAUAGAAGGUUUUUCUUUGAAAUUGAUGAUCGUAUACAAAUCGUUACAAUAGAAUAAAUCUUUCAUCAUAUGUCUCCAAGUGAAAUAAUUUGAUAAGUUCAAUUUAAUCAUAUCAUUUGAUUCUUAUAUUUCAAUCACACAAAAAAACUAGCACCAAAUAAUAUGAUGCUCUGAUACCAUUUUGUGGGGAAAAAACUAUUGCAAUGGAAUUUUUUUUUUCCUAUUUGUGGAUCAAAAUGGGUACUUCACCAAAAUAUCGAUUUGUUAUCAAAAGUAAAUAUUAAUCGAAACAACAUAGUAGAACAAUGAAUCAAUCAUAAAGUGGUACAUUAAUUUUUUAUGAAAAAAUUCAUUGUCGAAAAAAUCACAAGACUAUAUUCCACUUCAAACCUCCACUAUUACUAAUAAUAAUAAUAAAUUUAUAAUAAAUUUUAUUCAGAAUAACUAGAGGAUCACAAUAACAUCAAGAAUACAAAUCUCGACUCAACAAUAACAUACAUGAAUUUUAUCAAAAAAAAUAUUUAAGUCUCAUCAAAUGAAUAUAUUAUAAAAGUAUAUCAGAAAAGAUAAAUCACAUAUCGACACCGUUAGUAUUGUAAAAAAUAUUAUAAAUAUUUUUCAUAUAAAAUUUAGAGCAAAACUGAUAAAAUUUACCCGCUUAAUUGUCUAACAACAACUUAAUAACCUUAACUUUUUCUUUCUUUUUCUCCCUAUCUUUUUAGUGGUUAUAGUGUUCGCACGUCCUUCACCGCGCAGGUCUGUCCUUUUUCUUUUUUUUUAAUAACUUUAUUGUCCAAUCCAAACCCACCCAAGCUGGUCCCAACAAUUUGUCUGAUCCCAUCGUAAGGAAUGCAUGACCACCAGACAACCUCCCCGACAGUAUCUGACGCAGACAUCACUAACCUUAUCGCUUUUAAAAAUAAUAAACUCGUGUCACACGUUGAUAUUUUUAUUGGUUUUAAUUAAUUUCCACUUGGCCCAUCCGAUUCACAGAAAUGACUUCACAGUUCUCAUUGCGUACGCAUCUAAUUUUUUAACAAAAUGGCUGCUCUUAUUGCAUGUCCGAGAAUCAGAUACGGAUGAUACGGUACUGCUUUUCCGUUGUCCUCCCUCCCACAUCAUCCCCGGUUUCCACAGACACUGGUGGAAGUAAAAUUGCCAACUCAUCUACCUCCCUAUAUCAAUUAAUUAUCUAAUCUCGUGCUUGCAUCACGUCUUCUGCAACCAUCAACCCGAGACAUCGACAGUUACGAGCAGUUCCAACACGUCUAUAAGAACGUCAGGUUCAUCGGGAUGGCAUAAUCUAUUGUUAAUCAACGGGCUUUACCUCCCUUAUUUUAUAUGAUUUUUUUUCGACACCUAAUUAUUGUGUAAACAGUGAUGAAGAUAUCGAAUUCACCUAUAUAUACAUUCCAUACCCAUACCCAUACACAGACCAACUCUGGACAGCCAUCAUGGCCGCCACCCACAUCGCCCUGUUUGCCUCCGGCCUCGCCGUCUUGCUUCUCCUGGUCCAAGGGUCGCCGCCAGGGCCCGUUGUUCAGUGCCGGUCCGGCAACACUAACUGCACCGUGACCAACGGCUAUGGAGCCUUUCCGGAUCGCAGCACCUGCCGCGUCGCCGCGGUCGCGUACCCUUCGACCGAAGAGGAGCUGCGGUUAGUUGUCUCCGACGCGACCGAGAAGCAGCAGCACAUGAAGGUGGUCACAAUGUACUCCCACAGCAUUCCCAAGCUGUCGUGCCCCGGCGGGCCGAGCGGCCAGGGCCUGGUCAUUAGCACCCAGCGCCUCGGCAGAUCGGUGAGCGUGGACAUGGCCACAUCGCGGAUGACAUUCGAGGCAGGGAUCACACUUAGGGCGCUCCUUGACGCGGCGGCCGCCCGUGGCCUGGCGCUAUCCCACUCGCCGUACUGGCAAGGGAUGACGCUCGGCGGGCUGCUGAGCACCGGCUCGCAUGGGAGCUCGGCGUUCGGGAAGGGCUCGGCGGUGCACGAAUAUGUGGUAGGGAUGAGGCUGGUAGUUCCAAGUCCGGUCCCGGUGAACGGAUACUACGCCAAGAUCGUUAAUCUUGGUGAGGAUGAUCCUGAUCUCUUGGCUGCCAAGGUUUCUCUCGGUGUUCUUGGAGUCAUUUCUCAGGUAUGUGUGUGGUGACCUACGUGUUGUUCUUUACACGAUUUGAGAUCCAUGUGAUAACUCAUCUUAGUUCUUCAUCGUGGUUCUUCCAACCACGUCAAGUACUUUCAGAAGCUGAGUGUACAUGACUUGCCACGUCUCGAUGCUAAUUAGGUGCAACUAUAUCUUUAAUUCUUCAUGAUAUAGUAGAGAUCAUCCUACUGUUAUUAGCAAGGCUGAAUACUUCCUAUCGUCAGCAAAAUGUCGAGACAGAAAAAAAAAACUUGUUUUCUAUCAAAUCACUUUACAAAGGAAGACUUGUUCUUUUCCUCGAAUCUAGAAAGUUACGUAAAUAAUAGGCUGUUGAUGAUCCCAGUGGACUUUACUUUUAAUCUUUCCUUCUUUUCUUGCUUUGCUUGUCUUCCUUGUUUCAAAAUGGGCUGAUGCAAACCUUUGAUCCGUUCUAAUGAUUCCAUGUACCUUCCCUCGUCGUUUAUCGUAACUACACAACAUAAUUGAGUGUUAUGGAAUAUAACCCACAUAGACAAAGAUCAGAGAAAAAGCAAACUUUGCAAAUAACAGCUACAGUGAUGUUGAUGAUGACUCUGUGUAAACGAGAGUGCCCCUUGUUGAUCUUGAUAGGAAGAAGGGAUAGAGUUAUCAAACAGUGGAAUAGUAAGACAAGCUUCAAUCUUCUAUAUUUUUCUCAAAAAAACUCUUUAUAAUUUCAAAAACUCUAUCUAUUUCAUGACCUAUGGGGUUUAUAUAGUCCCGAAAGAUAUAUUACAUUAAUUGUAUUCAAGAUAAAUAAUUUUUUUUCAAAAAAUUCGUUCAAAAAUCAAUAACCAUUUGGACUUAUUCUUCCAUAGACUUUAAUCUAUUUCUUCGUAAUGAAUCUUCUGCAAUGAAUAUUUCUUUUGAGGAAAUGAAUCUCUUUAUAACAUUUGAAAAAGUUUAAUUCCAGAAGAGACAGGCAGGUCCAUGCUGCCUUGCCUUGCAGAGCUUACGACCGGACCCGAUAAUUGCCUUAAAAGCCUCAGUAACAAUUAUUAGGUUGAAGGACGAUAGGGGAUGUCAGUAGUAGUAGUUCUUGUUUCAAUCUUGUUGCCGGAAUAGCUGAAAAGAGUUGACUUGCAAUACAUGUAAGCUUUUGUUCUGCUGCUUCGUUAUAGGUAACCUAAGAAUUACUUGAACCGAUCGCGCAGGUCACCCUCCAACUUGAGCCAAUGUUCAAGCGAUCCAUCACCAACAGGGUCGUAAGCGACGUUGGCUUCGAGCAAACCAUCUCCUCGUACGCUGUCACUACAUACUAUGGAGACAUCAGCUGGUAUCCGUCACAACGCAGAGUGGUGUACCGAGAUGAUAUCAAGGUCCCCAUCACCACCAAGGGAAAGGGUGUAAACGACUACUUAGGGUUCCGAGCGCAGCCCACACUUGUCGGAGCCUCUCUACGUGCUUCAGGUCUUAUAAAUUGAAGCUUUUAUUUUGCUUGUCAAACUUAAUGUAGUGUUCGAGCAGUAUUAUGCACACAUUUACGUCGACAUUUCGUCCGAGAUUUAUACUGAGAAGGCAUCUUAUGUUCUCUACCAUGUGUUUGUGUCAAUGACUGCAGAGGAACGAGUGGAGGCAACGGGAAAUGCGGAAGGCAAAUGUGUGCUGUUCAGAUUGCAAGUUGAUACUUUGAUUGCGACCGGCAUGGGCUUUAAGAACAAUGACGGCGGCUUGAUAGAAUUCACUGGCUAUCCGGUCAUUGGAAACCAAAGCGACAUGCAAUCCGCCGGUAGGUUCUCAAAUUAUCCGAGGAAUGUCUGCAUGUAUGAAUGAUAGCUCUUGAUGAUAAUGCUUCAUCACAAUAAUGACACAUGUAACGCCCGGAUUUAUUUACUCUGAGUCAUCUUCUUUCCAGGUUCUUGCCUAAGGAGUCCAGAAGACAACCUUCUUACAGCCUGUGGCUGGGACCCUCGUUUUGCGGGGUUCUUCUACCACCAAACCACGAUAAGCAUCCCCUUCACCACCAUCUCUGACUUCAUCGCCGACGUCAAGAAGCUCCGCGACGCCCAUCCCGACGCACUCUGCAGCACCGAGCUGUACUUGGGCUUCUUGAUCCGCUUCGUCCGCAACUCCACAGCUUAUCUUGGCAAAACCGACGACGUGGUGGCCAUUGACAUCACAUACUAUCGUUCCAAGGAUCCAAAACAGCCGCGACUAUAUGAGGAUGUGUUCGAGGAGAUCGAACAGAUGGCCUUGUUCAAGUACAACGGGCUGCCGCACUGGGGGAAGAACAGAAAUGUCGGCUUCCUCAAUGUCAAGAACAAGUUGGGGGCUAAGUUGGCCAAGUUUGUGAGUGUGAUGCAGAAGUAUGACAGCAAUGGAUUGUUCUCUUCAGACUGGACCGAUGCGGUGCUGGGACUGCGAGGGAAGGAAGUUGUGGUGCAGGGAGAUGGUUGUGCAAUGGAGGGGCUGUGCAUUUGCUCCACCGAUGACCACUGCGCUCCUAAACUAGGCUAUUAUUGUCGACCUGGGGAAGUCUAUGAGCAGGCUCGAGUUUGCCGGAAGAUAAAAUCCGUGGAAGCUGAUGGUUUGGCAUGGAGCGCAUGAUACCAUUCACAUUCAUUUGCUGUGAGGUUUAUUUCUGUGUCACUUCCUCUUCGAAUAAAGGAUGAAAUGUCAGUCAAUAAUUACUACAUAGUUUAUUAUUGUGAUAUUAAAGCAAGCGUCGAUAAAUGCAAUAUUGUAUGGGACGCAGAUUACAUUCCUCCCGAUUUAUCUGUACAACUCCAAGAUGACUUAUACAAGUCAUUCUAUAGAACUAUAAUGUCUUAAUAAAUUUUUUUUGGGAAAAAAAUUAGGACAUAAUUUCUCAUUAUUUUUCAUAGCAAGAUCCCAUUUUGAAGGAAACGAACGCUCUCCAGUAUCCUUUGCAUGAAAGGAACGAGGAAGCAAGAAAUAAUUGUGCCAUUCUUAACGCCAUCGUGUGGAGAGAGAUAGUAUGUUAACGCGAUAUUCUUCGCUAUCAUUUCUUAAAAUAAUAAUGAUGAUUAAUGAUAAUAACCUGCGACUCACGUAAAUGUUCUGAUUAAUUUUACAUUAAUUACGCUUGACCCACGUUUCGUGACACAAAUGAAAUGGUAGUUCACACCGAUUACAUUUCAAAUUUUUGACUCAAAGCUCGUCCUAUGGAUCGCGAGAAUAAACCAUAUGGUAAGAAGCUACAUAAAUAUGGAAAUCACAAAGGAGGGUGAUUACUGUAAUUAACCCUUCCUCGAUGCCCCCAACUCCAAGAAACUACUGCUCUCUCUAGGUAACUCUACGGCGCAGCAUCCAAUCUUAUGUUUUUUCCUUUCUCAUCCUCGCAGUAUAAUUUAGAGAUAGCAAGUGGUCGCACCAUGAUCGAGGGAAACAGCAGCGAGAGCAAGCUGAGCCAGUACAUCAGGCCCCCGACCGGGAGCUGCGGCAUGCCCCGGACUUGUACGAUAGCAGCAUGGCCGGGAUCGCCGGCAAGGCGCAGUGUGGCACCGUCAUCGCGCUGUCUUCGCGCCUAUGGCUUUGGGCUGUGCUCGCGGACGAGCAGCAGCGAGGAAGAGAUCAACGACCUCAUCGGCGCCGUUUGCAAGAGCAAGAUGCGGGCCAUCCCGGUGGAGGAUGGGACGCCGGUGCCGAGGAGCCACAGUGUGGCGACGUUGAGGAUAGACGAAGACAAGCCGUGUGACUUCGAGGACGACCUCACGGUGGCCCUGGGGCCAAGGAGCUGUGGCUACGAUGUUGCCACCGAGAGGAAGGUGGGCUUCUAAUAAGCUUCAAGUUAGCUUGUGCGGUGAUCUAACACGAACAGUAAACAUCCGAGCUUAUAUAUUGUACUGCUUUCGAGGGAGGAAAUAAGCAAUUCGUUGAGCCGUUGUCAUUCUUUGGGAACCAAAACUUAUUAGGAGAUAAAUCGAAUAGUAGAUAUUCGUCGCUUCUUUUAUGAAGCCUUGUUGUAUUUUACCUACUCACCACGUCUUGUGAUAAUCUCAUGUAAUAUCUACACAAAAUAACUAAGUUUUAGAUCGGGCAUGACAUCCUCAAGGAAUGAUUUUUUAAUAGACUACAGUGUUUAUUUAUGUGAGGAUUUGGCAUGCUUUUUUCAUCUUAAAAAAGGAAAUGUUAAAUUUCUAAGAAAAACCUCCUAACUUUAAGAAUUUAUCAAAUAACCCUCCAAUCUUGAGAAAUUUUUAUAGAGUAUUUCUUUUUCUUAAAUGAUCAUUCUACCCAUAUUGAUUGUCGCCUUUACCCUUGCAUUGUUAUUGCUGUGCUUGCCGGUGGCCUUCGCACAAGGAAGGAAGGGGUGCAAGAGUUGUCAUCUCCUUCCUGCACCACCUCCCCUCCCUUCUGCAUGCUGGACUUAUUGCUUACAGGCCUCACGCGAGGAAGGAGAAGGUACGAGGGCUAUUAUCACCUUUGCAGACCUCACUAACCCUACACUAACGCCUUGCUCACAACCCUCGCAUGAGAAAGGAGAGGACGUGAGGGCUGGGAUAGUAAUUCAAAUCCAAUCAAGGUCUAUUCCAAAUCAGUCACUAUUUGUAAUGCACUAAAUUUGUAAAACUAGGUUGAGGGGCAUUCUUGACAAAUAUUCCUUCAACGGCGAAUUGAAUUUUUAGGUUUGGACUAGUCGAUGAAGUGAAGUCAUAUCUUAGGAGUACAUGGGAGCCCUUUUUAUGAGUGAUACUAAGGAUGAUUAUUCCUAGAAUCACCGAUCGCAUAGGCCAGCCAUGUCAACCACGGGUUCAGAUGAUUGAUUAUCUGGUCAUGUAUCACCCCUUUAUGAGUAUAUGUCUUACGACCUGAUCAUCAUUUGUCUAUCGCGUGUGAUCCUCAUGCUCUUUGGCAAUCGAUCAGUUGGCUCAUUGGUCAUCGGCAAUGUUGUAUUUGACAUGUCACUUGUCACCUAUCACUUGCCCCCAACUUCUAGGUUGAUAGAUUGUAGGGCUAUCGAGUUAAGAAGUGCUCUAGCUUAUGCUUUUAACACUGAUAGUGGAUUUGUUCGUCAUCUUUUUGACAUAUGUCAUAGAAAUGCAUGUUCUGUCCGUUAAAGCUAUUCUAUCCAUUUAGUAUGUUUAACGCAUUCGGUUCAUUUAACCCGUUCUAUUCAUUAGUUGCUCUCCCUCUAACAUACAUUCCUUAAUAUAUCUUGGUUGCUCUCCCUCUAACAUAUCAGUAUAAAUUUUAGUUGUUUGAGUUGAGAUGAUAACUUAGAUCUAUCUGACGUUCAUUCCAAGUUAGUCUAACUCUAGAAAACCUACAAAUGCCCUAUCGUCGAUCAAGUCAGACUUGUCAGCCAAUACUAAAGUCAAGUCGGGUCCUGGAAGUGUACAUAAGAGUCUCUUUUAUUAGUAACUCUAAGAAUGGUUAUGUCUGGAAUCAUUGAUGGUAAGAGGGGAAUAUGUGCCACAUUCAAGCUGAGACUUGGCAUUCGUACAAGUAAAUGGUUGAUGUGAUCCGGGAGAGAGCAAGGCAUGUAAAUGAUUCAUAACAAGGGAACGUCUCUUACAAGUUCUCCAUUGACAGGUUCUUCCGACUUAGAAUUGGUCUAAUGUUUUCCGGCUUCUCCGUACCUCAGGAAAUGUUGGGUCUAGCCCAUACGUCAGCUUGGACUAGAUAAUUAAAUUUUUGAGCUCAAAUCAAUAAUUAAAAAAAAAAACUGCCUAUAGCGUUUUGACAAGCGAACGAUGGCGACGCACAGUCAAAUUAACAUAGAAAGAGAAAAGAGAAAAAAAAUAAGAUUUUGAGUUUUUCUUAGUUAACGAUCAGAGUCAAACUUGGAUCCAAAUUAUACAUGAAAAAUCUUUACAGUAGCCAGCUCUACAAUCCGCUGAUUUGUAGUUUACCCUUUAUGAGGUAUUUUCCAACUAUACUCAUUUUGUGAGACAAAAUUCUUUUUUUGAUGAGAUUCAUUCAUGUGAUGAUGAUAUACUAUUCUUGAGUCAAGAUAUGUGAUUUUGAUGUUAUUAUGGUUCUCUUGUUAUUUUAAAGAAGACUUAUUGUAAACCUAUAAUUAUUAUUAGUGAUAGUGGAAGCUUGAAGUGGACUACGAUCCCUAUUAUUAUUAUUAGUGAUAGUGGAAGCUUGAGGAGGACUACGGUACGUGGUUUUUUCCGCAUUAGGUUUUUCACGUUAAUAUUUGGUCUUACUUUGUGAUUGAUUCAUUGUUUUGUUAUUUAUGUUGUUCUGGUUUAUAUGUACUUUUGAUAUCAAGCUGGUUUUUGAUGAGAAACUUAUUUUAAUAGACAAAAAGAAAAAAAAUUAUUUUAUUUUAAUAGGUUUUUCCCAACAAGAAAUUGAGUGAAGAACUCUAUUUAACCGACUUCAAGUCGGCACGACCCUCUUCGCAUCCAAUGUUAGUGUAGCGCUAUGACCUAGGAAGAAGAAGAGGGAACAAGCUGAUGCGGUACAUCAAGGCCUCUCAUCGAGCACUGCUACGUGCCCGGGACUUGUACGUGAACAGCAUGGCUGGAUGCGCCAGAAGGGCCCAGGGCGAGCCGACGAUCAUCGCGAUGCCGCACGCCCAGAGCCACAUAUAUACACACACAAACGCGCACACACAAUAAAAGUAAUAUAAUUAUUGAUGCCCAUGCAAAAAGAUUUUAUAUCAUUUUUAUUUAAUUCGCUCACGUGGAUCAAUCGAGUUGUCCAUGUGUUAUUAUCCAUUAACUUGCUUUUAUCUAUUAUAUAAUAACGAUUGGAUCAUGAGCUGGCUUUCUCAUCUGCGUGCCAAUCCAAACGCUUCUAUACUGUGCCAUCGACGACUUCAAUAUCUUUGAUUUGCUCACAUCUCAAAGCCAAAAAAAAGGAAAAAUGAUGAGUACCUACAGUAUAUGACAAUUAGUUAGACCGAUUCUUCUAAAUUUUCUGAUCCCAUCGUGAGGCGUGCAUGACCAGCGUACUUUCCCCACUGUAUUUUACUCGACCAUCACUAACCUCACCGCUAUUAUAGAAAUAGUAUGUCAACACGAUCUUGGCUGUCAUCANNNNNNNNNNNNNNNNNNNNUUUUCUUACAAUAAUAAUAAUGAUAAGAACCUUGCGUCCCAAGUUGGCUCACGUGAUUGAAAUAAAUGACUCGAAUUGGGAACAAUACCCAUAUGCAGAUUCAUUGGGAUGGCAGAAUCUCUUGUUAAGUCAACGGGCUUUACCUCCCUUAUUUUAUAUGAAUUUUUUUCUGACACCUAAUAAUUUUGUAAACAGUGAUCAAGAUAUCGAAUUCACAUUCUCCUAUAUACACAUUACAUACCCAUAUGCAGACCAACUCUGGACAGUCAUCAUGGCCGCCACCUACUUUGCCCUAUUCGCCUCCGGCCUCGCCGUCUUGCUUCUACUAGUCCAAGGAUCGCCGCCAGGGCCCGUUGUCCAGUGCCGGUCCGGCAACACUAACUGCACCGUGACCAACGGCUAUGGAGCCUUUCCUGAUCGCAGCACCUGCUGCGUCGCCGCGGUCGCGUACCCUUCCACCGAACUGGAGCUCCUGUUAGCUGUCUCCGACGCCACCGAGAAGCAGCAGCACAUGAAGGCUGUCACGAUGUACUCCCACAGCAUCCCCAAGCUGUCGUGCCCCGGAGGGCCGAGCGGCCAGGGCCUGGUCAUUAGCACCCAGCGCCUCAACCGAUCGGUGAGCGUGGACAUGGCCACCUCGCGGAUGACGUUCGAAGCAGGGAUCACACUUAGGGAGCUCCUUGACGCGGCGGCCGCCCGUGGCCUGGCGCUACCCCACUCGCCGUACUGGCAAGGGAUGACGCUCGGCGGCCUGCUGAGCACCGGCUCCCAUGGGAGCUCGGUGUUCGGGAAGGGCUCGGCGGUGCACGAAUAUGUGGUAGGGAUGAGGCUGGUGGUUCCAAGUCCGGCCCCGGUGAACGGAUACUACGCCAAGAUCGUUAAUCUUGGUGAGGAUGAUCCUGAUCUCUUGGCUGCCAAGGUUUCUCUCGGUGUUCUUGGAGUCAUUUCUCAGGUAUGUGUGUGGUGACCUACGUGUUAUUCUUUGUUCUUUACACGGAUUGAGAUCCAUGUGAUAACUCAUCUUAGUUCUUCAUGGUGGUUCUUCCAACCACGUCAAGUACUUUCAUAAGCUGAGUGUACAAGAUUUGCCACGUUUCGAUGCUAAUUAGGUGCAACUAUAUCUUUAAUUCUUCAUGAUAUAAUAGAGAUCAUCCUACUGUUAUUAGCAACGCUGAAUACAUCCUAUCGUCAGUAAAAUGUCGAGACAGAAAAAAAAAACUUGAUUUCUAUCAAAUCACUUUACAAAGGAAGACUUGUUCUUUUCCUUGAAUCUAGAAAGUUACGUAAAUAAUAGGCUUUUGAUGAUCGCAGUGGACUUUACUUUUAAUCUUUCCUUCUUUUCUUGCUUUGCUUGUCUUCCUUGUUUCAAAAUGGGCUGAUGCAAACCUUUGAACCGUUCUAAUGAUUCCAUGUACCUUCCCUCGUCGUUUAUCGUAACUACACAACAUACUUGAGUGUUAUGGAACAUAUGAGCACAUGCAAACCCACAGAGACAAAGAUCAGAGAAAAAGCAACCAUUGCAAUAACAGCUACAGUGACGUUGAUGAUGACUCGGUGUAAAUGAGAGUGCCCCUUCCUUCACAUAUGGAGCCUCGAGCAGGGCAAGAGGCAGGCAGGUCCAUGCUGCCUUGCCUUGCAGAGCUUACGACCGGGCCCACUAAUUGCCUUAAAAGCCUCAGUAACAAUUAUUAGGUUGAAGGACGAUAGGGGAUGUCAGUAGUUGUAGUUCUUGUUUCAAUCUUUUUGCCUGAAUAGCUGAAAAGAGUUGACUAGCGAUACAUGUAAGCUUUUGUUCUUCUGCUUCAUUAUAAGUAACCUAAGAAUUACUUGAACCGAUCGAGCAGGUCACCCUCCAACUUGAGCCAAUGUUCAAGCGAUCCAUCACCAACAGGGUCGUAAGCGACGUUGGCUUCGAGCAAACCAUCUCCUCGUACGCUGUCACUACAUACUAUGGAGACAUCAGCUGGUAUCCGUCACAACGCAGAGUGGUGUACCGAGAUGAUAUCAAGGUCCCCAUCACCACCGAAGGAAAGGGUGUAAACGACUACUUAGGGUUCCGAGCGCAGCCCACCCACGUCGGAGCCUCUCUACGUGCUUCAGGUCUUAUAAAUUGCAGCUUUUAUUUUGCUUGUCAAACUUAAUGUAGUGUUCGAGCAGUAUUAUGCACACAUUUACAUCGACAUUUCGUCCGAGAUUUGUACUAAGAAGGCUUCUUUUGUCCUCUACCAUGUGUUUGUGUCUGUGAAUGCAGAGGAACGAGUGGAGGCAACGGGAAAUGCGGAAGGCAAAUGUGUGCUGUUCAGAUUGCAAGUUGAUACUUUGAUUGCGACCGGCAUGGGCCUUAAGAACAAUGACGGCGGCUUGUUAGAAUUCACCGGCUAUCCGGUCGUUGGAAACCAAAGCGACAUGCAAUCCUCCGGUAGGUCCUCCAAUUAUCCGAAGAAUGUAUAUGAUGACACAUGUUACACCUGUAUUAUAUAUUAUAUGGUCUGAGCCAAAUUCACUCCUGUAUUCUGUAUUAGUCUGAACCAUCUUCUCUCCAGGUUCGUGCCUAAGAAGUGCAGAAGACAACCUUCUCACGGCCUGUGGAUGGGACCCUCGCUUUGCUGGGUCCUUCUACCACGAAACCGCGAUAAGUAUCCCCUUCACCACCGUUGCAGACUUCAUCGCCGACGUCAAGAAGCUCCGCGACGCCCACCCCAACUCGCUCUGCGGCACCGAGCUGUCCUUGGGCUUCUUCAUUCGCUUCCUCCGCAACUCCACGGCCUAUCUUGGCAAAACGGACGACGUGGUGGAGAUCGACAUCACAUACUACCGUUCCAGGGAUCCAAAACGGCCGCGACUCUAUGAGGAUGUGCUCGAGGAGAUCGAACAGAUGGCCUUGUUCAAGUACAAUGGGCUGCCGCACUGGGGGAAGAACAGAAAUGUCGGCUUCCUCAAUGUCAAGAACAAGCUGGGGGCUAAGUUGGCCAAGUUUGUGAGUGUGAUGCAGAAGUAUGACAGCAAUGGAUUGUUCUCUUCAGACUGGACCGAUGCGGUGCUGGGACUGCGAGGGAAGGAAGUUGUGGUGCAGGGAGAUGGAUGUGCACUGGAGGGGCUGUGCAUUUGCUCCACUGACGACCACUGCGCUCCUAAACUAGGCUAUUUUUGUCGACCUGGAGAAGUCUAUGAACAGGCUCGAGUUUGCCGGAAGAUAAAAUCCGUGGAAGCUGAUGGUUUGGCAUGGAGCGCAUGAUACCAUUCACAUUCAUUUGCUGUGCGGUUUAUUUCUGUGUCACUUCCUCUUCGAAUAAAGGUUGUAAUGUCAGUCAAUAAUUACUACAUAGUUUAAUGAUGAUUAAUGAUAAUAACCUGCGACACACGUAAAUGUUCUGAUUAAUUUUACAUAAAUUACACUUGACCCACGUUUCGUGACACAAAUGACAUGGUAGUUCACACCGAAACUACUGCUCUCUAUAAAUUACUCAACGGCGCAGCAUCCAAUCUUCUGUUUGUUCCUUUCUCAUCCUCGCAGUAUAAUUUGGAGAUAGGAAGUGGUCGCACCAUGAGCGAGGGAAACAGCAGCGAGAGCAAGCUGACCCCGUACAUCAGGCCCCCGACCGGGCCGCUGUGGCAUGCCCGGGACUUGUACGAGAGCAGCAAGGCGCAGAGUGGCACCGUCAUCGCGCUGUCUCGCGCCUAUGGCUUUGGGCAGUGCUCGCGGACGAGCAGCAGCGAGGAAGAGAUCAACGACCUCAUCGGCGCCGCUUGCAAGAGCAUGAUGCGGGCCAUCCUGGUGAAGGAGGAUGGGCUGGUGCCAAGGAGCCACCGAGUGGCGACGUUGAGGAUAGACGAUGACAAGCCGUGUGACUUCGAGGACGACCAAGAGGAACGAUGCCAAGGAGCUGUAGCUACGAUGUUGCCACCAAGAGGAACGUGGGCUUCUAAUAAGCUUCAAGUUAGAUUGUGCGGUGAUCAACACGAACAGUAAACAUCCGAGCUUAUAUAUUGUACUGCUUUCGAGGGAGGAAAUAAGCAUUUCGUUGAGCCGUUGUCAUUCUUUUGGAACCAAAACUUAUUAGGAGAGAAAUCGAAUAGUGAAUACAGAAGAAGAUAUUCUUCACUUCUUUUGUGAAGCUUUGUUGUAUUUUACCUACUCACCAUGUAUUUUACACAAAAUAACUAGUUUUAGAUCGGGCAUGACAUCCUGAAGGAAUGAUUGUUUAAUAGACUACAAUGUUUAUUUAUGCGAGGAUUUGGCAUGCUUUUCUCAUCUUAAAAAAAGGAAAUGUUAAAUUUCUAAAAAAAGACCUCCUAACUUUAAAUUAUCAAAUAACGCUCUGAGAAAUUUUUUUAGAGUAUUUUUUUCUUAAACAAUCAUUCUAUCCAUUGUCAACUCUAUCCAUGCAUUGUUAUUAUUGUAUUUACAUGUGGCCCUCGCAUAAGGAAGGAAGGGGUGCAAGAGUUGUCACCUCCUUCCUGCACCACCUCUCCUCCUCUUGUCAUGCUGGAUUUGUUACUUAUAGGCCUCACUCGAGGAAAGAGAGGGUACGAGAGCCAUUGCCACUUAUGCGGACCCCACCAACUCUAUCCUAGCGCCUCGAUCACAACUUUCAUAUGAGAAAGGAGGGGACGUGAGGGCCGUCAUCGUUUCUGUGGACCUUACUAGCCCUAGGACCUUGCUAGACUCUAUUGGACUUGUUGCCCGUAGCCCUUACACAAGGAAAGAAGGGUUGUGAGGGUCGACGCCACCACCAUCUUCACAGACCACUACGACCCUGCUUAUAUGCACUUCACUCGUAACCCUUGUGCAAGGAAGAAGGUGGCACAUGUGCUAUCGUUGCCUUUGUGGAACCUAUUAGUCUCCGUCAAACCUGUUGUCACUCUGCACCACCCCCCCUUUCCUCGCACGAGGGCCAUAGUGUGCAAGGGUUGUGAGUGACAGAUUAUAUGAAGUAGAGGAGAGGAUAGGUAGUGCAUGGAGUAAGGGCACAAGUGAUUAUAGAGGGAGGAGGAGAUAACUAUAGGUCUAAUAGAAAUAGAGAUAAAAUAAUAUUUUUAUAUAAUCAAGAUACUCUAUGAAUUUCUUAAAGUUAAAAGGCUCUGUAAAAAAUUCAUAAUGUUAAAUCUAAAAAAAAAAUAAGGAUUUGACGUGCGUCCGACAAGCCUCCUUCCUGGAGAGGAUCAACACACAGCUAGUUAGUAGGGGAUUCAGUAACUUUCCUUUUUUUUUCCCUUUAAAAAUAUGAAGUUUCAUAACUUAUCAAAAAGAGGUCCAAAUUGUACAUUUAUACCAAUAAAUUUGAAUACUACAAGUUUUUCUCUUGCAACUAAUACACACACAUAUACUACAGUUUUGCCCCAUACAAAUCGAAUAACAAUGAGUAUAGUUUUGACCCUUCCAUGUAUAGAAAUUAAAUAAAAAUUAGUUUGAUUCAAUUCAAAGAGUUAAGUUUCUAUAUUGUGGACCAAAUUAAGUAUAUAUAAUCAGACUCUUUUAAUUCUUAAUUAUACUAGAUUAUCCUCUUAGUUUAUUUUAUUUCAAUUUAGACAUGAAUAUUUUCAUUACAAUGUGAAUAAUAAAAAUAUCUUAAAAGUGAAGUCAUAUUUGGUUCUUUAUUAGACCUUACUUUUCAACUUUUGUAACGAUCCAACCAAUGACCUCAUUAUUGGCCAUGAAUGAAAUCUUGAAUUCUAAUUUUUAAGUAAAAUGUAACUUAUGAUAUUUUAGAUUAAUACAAGUUAACAAUUAUUAACUAUCAUUAGUUAUGAUUGAUUAAAAAUUGAAAUGUAGUAAUAGAAUAUGAUAUUACAAAAUGUUCACAUCAUAUUUCUUUCUUAAAAAAUAAUCUUGUUUAUACCAAACUCGAAUUCAAAAUCUCAUCUGAUAUAUUUUGAAGAUAUCAUCUAAUUUAGUUGGUGUUAGUGUAGAUUUUGAUUAUAUGAGCUAGGAUAAUUCUUCAAAUUGAAUCAAAGUCUAUUCCAAACCAAUCUCACUUCACAUCACUAUUAAUAAAGCACCAAACUUGUAAAACUAGGUCAAGAGGUAUUCUUGACAAAUAUUCCUUCAAUAAUCAAUUGAAUUCUUAGGUUUGGACUGGCUGAUGAAUAUUGAAGUGAAAUCAUAUCUUAAGAGUACAUGAGAGUCCUUUUUAUGGGUGAUACUAAGGAUGAUUAUUCCUAGAAUCACCGAUCACUUAGGCUAGUCGAUCACGAGUUCAAAUUAUCUAUCAUUUGGCCACAUAUCACCCCUUUAUGAGUAUAUAUCUUACUACCUGACCAUCAUCUGUCAAACGCGUGUGAUCCCCAUGCUCUUUGAUAAUCGACCCAUUGGCUUCUUGGCCACGUGUCGCAUUGUGGCAAUGUUGUAUUUGACAUGUCACUUGUCACCUAUCACUAGCCCCCCAUUUCUAAGUUGAUAGAUUAUAGGGCUAUAGAGCUAAGAAGUGCUCUGGCCUAUGAUUUUUACACUGAUAGCGAGUUUGUUCAUCAUCGUUUUGACAUAUGUCAUUGGAAUGCAUGUUGUGUCCAUUAAAGCUAUUCUAUCCAUUCAGUGUGUUUGACGCAUUCAGUCCAUUUGACCCAUUCCGUUGGUUAGGGUCGUUCAGCUCGUUCAAUCAAUUUGACAUGUUAGGCUUUUUAGGAUUUAACCUAGAUGGUACCACGAAGUUUUCUUAAGAUAUCUUAGUUGCCCUCUCUCUAACGCUAAUAUAUUAGUAUAAAUUUUAAUUGUCUGAAUUGAGAUGAUAACUUAGAUCCAACUGAGAUUCAUUGCAAGUUAGUCUUACUCUAGGAAACCUACAAAUGCCCCAUCGUAGAUCAAGUCAGACUUGUUGGCCAAUAAUAAAGUCAAGUUGGAUCCUCGAAGUGUACCUAGAGUCCCUUUUAUUAGUAACUCUGAGAAUGAUUAUGUCCGGAAUCAUUGAUGGUAAGAGAGGAAUAUGUGCCACAUUCAGACUGAGACUUGGCAUGAUAUUCAUCGAACCUUGUGUUCACAUAGGUUGGUUGUGCUAAUCAUGGGUUUGGACGAUCGACUAUUCAUCCACGUAUUAUCUCAUGCUGAGUGUGCAUCUCAUGAUUCCAUCAUCACCUAUCUAUCACAUAUGAUCCUCAUGCUCUUUGGUUGUCAACCUUGUGGCCAUGUGUCACUACACGGUGAUGUUAUAUUCGAUAUAUUACUCUUUAUGCUGAAAAAAAAUUUGAUAGUUGAUCACUAGACUCAAAAUUCUACAUUCGUUAGUGGUGCGUUGGCCAUGUCUCGCCGCAUGAUAGUGUUAUAUUCAAUGUCACACCCUUCACCUGUCAGAUAAAGACUUUAAUAGUUCCUCCCAAAAUUUUAGACUUAAAUUCCACAUUAAUCACUUAUUCUCAAAAAAAAAAUCUGGUUAAGAUCGCAACCACUGCUUCGGUUACAAUUAUCCCUUCUAUUUUUAUAACAGAACAAAUAGGGUAAACAGUGUGCGAGUCGAUCAGUCGGUGGACUGCCUUCAUUCCACCGACUUACACCAUCAUGAGAUCCUCUUAAUUUUCAAAUUAUAAUAAUUAUAAUUUAAAAAAUAUGAAUAACAUUAAAUAAAAAUAAACAAAAAAAUCAGCCAUAACGCGUAAAGGUCAAAGUCAAAGUACCCAUGACCCAUGGACUGGGACACGUGGAGGCAAGAAAGCAUCACAACAGACUCGAGAACGAGCCCACUCGAUUGGACCAUUCAGGGCGGGAUUAAUUGAAAGAAACAACGAGCGAGACAGUCAGCAGGUCCACUAAACUGGAAGCAUUCUUCAUGCUUUGAAAUCAAAACAUGAGUCUAACAUGAUCAACCAAAUUGGACUCAACACUUGUGAUCGAGAAGAAUAGGGUGCCGCCAUGUUCGUACAAGUAAAUGGUUGAUGUGAUCCGGGAGAGAGCAAGGCAUAUAAAUGCUUCAUAACAAGGGAACGUCUCUUACAAGUUCUCCAUUGACAGGUUCUCUUCCUGCUUAGAAUUGGUCCAAUGUUUUCCGGCUUCCACAUACCUCAGGAAAUUGAGUAAAGAACUCUAUUUAAGCGACUUCAAGUCGGCACGACUCUCUUCGCAUCCAAUGUUAAUGUAGCGCUAUGAGCAAGGGAAGCAGAAGAGGGAACAAGCUGAUGCGGUACAUCAAGGCCCCUUAUCGAGCACUGCUUCGUGCCCGGGACUUGUACGUGAACAGCAUGGCCGGAUGCGCCGGCAGGGCCCAGCGCGGGCCGACGAUCAUCGCGAUGCCACGCGCCCAGAGCCGCAGCUUCCACCGCCCGCAAAUGAGCAGCGGCGAGGACGACAUCAACGAGCUCAUCCGCGCUGCGUCGAGGAGCAGGCUGCGGUCCGUCGAGGGAGCGGCGGUUCCGAGGAGUCACAGCGUGGCGGGGAUGACGAUUGACGAGGACAAGCCAUGCAACUUUGAGGGCGACGUCAAGGUGGCCUUGGGCCCGAGGAGCCGGAGCUGCGACGUCGUCUCCAAGAGGAGGGCGGGGUUUACAACAAACGCCGUAAGCAGCAUCCGAAGCUUCUAAUACCAAGAGUGGAAGCACCAAAUGCAGCAAUUCCAUGUCGUUGUGGUUUCUAUUACUCGUGUUCGUGAACUCGAUUCGAUACUUUCUCUCCUCUUCUUCUCCUGUCAUGUUUCUGUUCACUCGUGAAUGUUUGGGCUGCCUGCUUACCUCAUUCCAUCUACACGAACGGAAUGUUCAUAUGGCAUCUCGGUAUCAUUUCCCUCAAAAUUUGAGCCUACAUUUGAAGCAUUUUCAUUAUAUAUAUAUAUAUAUAUAUAUAUAUAUAUAUAUAUAUAUAUAUAUAUAUAUAUAUANNNNNNNNNNNNNNNNNNNNNNNNNNNNNNNNNNNNNNNNNNNNNNNNNNNNNNNNNNNNNNNNNNNNNNNNNNNNNNNNNNNNNNNNNNNNNNNNNNNNNNNNNNNNNNNNNNNNNNNNNNNNNNNNNNNNNNNNNNNNNNNNNNNNNNNNNNNNNNNNNNNNNNNNNNNNNNNNNNNNNNNNNNNNNNNNNNNNNNNNNNNNNNNNNNNNNNNNNNNNNNNNNNNNNNNNNNNNNNNNNNNNNNNNNNNNNNNNNNNNNNNNNNNNNNNNNNNNNNNNNNNNNNNNNNNNNNNNNNNNNNNNNNNNNNNNNNNNNNNNNNNNNNNNNNNNNNNNNNNNNNNNNNNNNNNNNNNNNNNNNNNNNNNNNNNNNNNNNNNNNNNNNNNNNNNNNNNNNNNNNNNNNNNNNNNNNNNNNNNNNNNNNNNNNNNNNNNNNNNNNNNNNNNNNNNNNNNNNNNNNNNNNNNNNNNNNNNNNNNNNNNNNNNNNNNNNNNNNNNNNNNNNNNNNNNNNNNNNNNNNNNNNNNNNNNNNNNNNNNNNNNNNNNNNNNNNNNNNNNNNNNNNNNNNNNNNNNNNNNNNUUUCCUUACAAUAAUAAUAAUGAUAAGAACCUUGCGUCCCAAGUAGGCUCACGUGAUUGACAUAAAUGACUCAAAUUGGGAACGGAUGAAAACUCCUCCUAUUGCAUGUUCAUGAAUCAGAUAUGGAUGAUAUGGCACCACUUUUCCAUUGCCGUCCCACGCACAUCAUCCACGGUUUCCACAGAGACUGGUAGAAGUAAAAUUGCCAACUCAUCUACCUCCCUCUAUCAAUAUAUAUUAUCUAAUCACGUUCUUGCAUCACGUGUUCUGCGACCAUCAACCGGAGACUUUGACAAUUAUGAACCAUUCCAACACGUCUAAAUACACGUAAGAUUCAUCGGGAUGGCAUAAUCUCUUGUUAAGUCAACGGGCUUUACCUCCCUUCUUUUAUAUGAAUUUUUUUCUGACUACUAAUUAUUAUGUAAAUAGUGAUCAAGAUAUCGAAUGCACCUAUAUAUACAUUACAUACCCAUACCCAGACCAACUCUGAACAGCCAUCAUGGCCGCCACCCACAUUGCCCUGUUCGCAUCCGGCCUCGCCGUCUUGCUUCUCCUAGUCCAAGGAUCGCCGCCAGGGCCCGUUGUCCGGUGCCGGUCCGGCAACACUAACUGCACCGUGACCAACGGCUAUGGAGCCUUUCCUGAUCGCAGCACCUGCCGCGUCGCCGCGGUCGCGUACCCUUCGACCGAACAGGAGCUCCUGUUAGCUGUCUCCGACGCCACCGAGAAGCAGCAGCACAUGAAGGCUGUCACGAUGUACUCCCACAGCAUCCCCAAGCUGUCGUGCCCCGGCGGGCCGAGCGGCCAGGGCCUGGUCAUUAGCACCCAGCUCCUCAACAGAUCGGUGAGCGUGGACAUGGCCACCUCGCGGAUGACGUUCGAGGCAGGGAUCACACUUAGGGCGCUCCUUGACGCGGCGGCCGCCCGUGGCCUGGCGCUACCCCACUCGCCGUACUGGCAAGGGAUCACGCUCGGCGGGCUGCUGAGCACCGGUUCGCAUGGGAGCUCGGUGUUCGGGAAGGGCUCGGCGGUGCACGAAUAUGUGGUAGGGAUGAGGCUGGUGGUUCCAAGUCCGGUACCGGUGAACGGGUACUACGCCAAGAUCGUUAAUCUUGGUGAGGAUAAUCCUGAUCUCUUGGCUGCCAAGGUUUCUCUCGGUGUUCUUGGAGUCAUUUCUCAGGUAUGUGUGUGGUGACCUACGUGUUGUUCUUUGUUCUUUACACGGUUUGAGAUCCAUGUGAUAACUCAUCUUAGUUCUUCAUGGUGGUUCUUCCAACCACGUCAAGUGCUUUCAUAAGCUGAGUACAUGACUCGCCACGUCUCGAUGCUAAUUAGGUGCAACUAUAUCUUUAAUUCUUCAUGAUAUAAUAGAGAUCAUCCUACUGUUAUUAGCAACGCUGAAUACAUCCUAUCGUCAGCAAAAUGUCGAGACAGAAAAAAAGAACUUGUUUUCUAUCAAAUCACUUUACAAAGGAAGACUUGUUCUUUUCCUCGAAUCUAGAAAGUUACGUAAAUAAUAGGCUGUUGAUGAUCCCAGUGGACUUUACUUUUAAUCUUUCCUUCUUUUCUUGCUUUGCUUGUCUUCCUUGUUUCAAAAAGGGCUGAUGCAAACCGUUGAACCGUUCUAAUGAUUCCAUGUACCUUCCCUCGUCGUUUAUCGUAACUACACAACAUAAUUGAGUGUUAUGGAACAUAUGAGCACAUGCAAACCCACAUAGACAAAGAUCAGAGAAAAAGCAAACUUUGCAAUAACAGCUACAGUGACGUUGAUGAUGACUCGGGGUAAAUGAGAGUGCCCCUUCCUUCACAUAUGGAGCCUCGCGCAAGGCAAGAGGCAGGCAGGUCCAUGCUGCCUUGCCUUGCAGAGCUUACGACCGGGCCCGCUAAUUGCCUUAAAAGCCUCAGUAACAAUUAUUAGGUUGAAGGACGAUAGGGGAUGUCAGUAGUAGUAGUUCUUGUUUCAGUCUUAUUGCCUGAAUAGCUGAAAAGAGUUGACUUGCAAUACAUGUAAGCUUUUGUUCUUCUGCUUCAUUAUAAGUAACCUAAGAAUUACUUGAACCGAUCGCGCAGGUCACCCUCCAACUUGAGCCAAUGUUCAAGCGAUCCAUCACCAACAGGGUCGUAAGCGACGUUGGCUUCGAGCAAACCAUCUCCUCGUACGCUGCCGCUACAUACUAUGGGGACAUCAGCUGGUAUCCGUCACAACGCAGAGUGGUGUACCGAGAUGAUAUCAAGGUCCCCAUCACCACCAAAGGAAAGGGUGUCAACGACUACUUAGGGUUCCGAGCUCAGCCCACCCUUGUCGUAGCCUCUCUACGUGCUUCAGGUCUUAUAAAUUGCAGUUUUUAUUUUGCUUGUCAAUCUUGAUGUAGUGUUCGAGAAGUAUUGUGAACACAUUUACAUCGACAUUUCGUCCGAGAUUUAUACUAAGAAGGCAUCUUUUGUCCUCUACCAUGUGUUUGUGUCAAUGACUGCAGAGGAACUAUUGGAAGCAACGGGAAAUGCGGAAGGCAAAUGUGUGCUGUUCAGAUUGCAAGUAGAUACUUUGAUUGCGAUCGGCAUGGGCUUUAAGAACAAUGACGGCGGCUUGUUAGAAUUCACUGGCUAUCCGGUCAUUGGAAACCAAAGCGACAUGCAAUCCGCUGGUAGGUUCUCAAAUUAUCCGAGGAAUGUCUGCAUGUAUGAAUGAUAACUCUUGACGAUAAUGCUUCAUCACAAUAAUGACACAUGUAAUGCCCGGAUUUAUUUAGUUUGAGUCAUCUUCUCUCCAGGUUCAUGCCUAAGGAGUGCAGAAGACAACCUUCUUACAGCCUGUGGCUGGGACCCUCGUUUUGCGGGGCUCUUCUACCACCAAACCACGAUAAGCAUCCCCUUCACCACCAUCGCUGGCUUCAUCGCCGACGUCAAGAAGCUCCGCGACGCCCAUCCCGACGCACUCUGCAGCACCGAGCUGUACUUGGGCUUCUUCAUGCGCUUCGUCCGCAACUCCACAGCUUAUCUUGGCAAAACCGACGACGUGGUGGACAUCGACAUCACAUACUAUCGUUCCAAGGAUCCAAAAAAGCCGCGACUCUACGAGGAUGUGCUCGAGGAGAUCGAACAGAUGGCCUUGUUCAAGUACAAUGCGCUGCCGCACUGGGGGAAGAAUAGAAAUGUCGGCUUCCUCAAUGUCAAGAACAAGCUGGGGGCUAAGUUGGACAAGUUUGUGAGUGUGAUGCAGAAGUAUGACAGCAAUGGAUUGUUCUCUUCAGACUGGACCGAUGCGGUACUGGGACUGCGAGGGAAGGAAGUUGUGGUGCAGGGUGAUGGUUGUGCACUGGAGGGGCUGUGCAUUUGCUCCACUGAUGACCACUGCGCUCCUAAACAAGGCUAUUAUUGUCGACCUGGAGAAGUCUACGAACAGGCUCGAGUGUGCAGGAAGAUUAAAUCCGUGGAAGCUGAUGGUUAGGUUUAUUUCUGUGUCGCUUCCUCUUCGAAUAAAGGAUGUAAUGUCAGUCAAUAAUUACUACAUAGUUUAUUAUUGUAAUAUUAAAGCAAGCGUCGAUAAAUGCAAUAUUGUAUGGGAGGCAGAUUGCAUUCCUCCUGAUUUAUCUGUGCAACUCCAAGAUGACUUAUGCAAGUCAUUCUAUAGAACUAUAAUGUGUUAAUAAAUUUCUUUUGGGCAAAAAAAUUAGGACAUAAUUUCUCAUUGUUUUUAAUUGCAAGAUCCCAUUGUGAAGGAAAGGAACACUCUCCAGUAUCCGUUGCAUGAAAGGGACGAGGAAGCAAGAAAUAACAGUGCCAUUAUUAAUGCCAUCGUGUGGAGAGACGUAGUAUGUUAACGCGAUAUUCUUCGCUAUCAUUCCUUAAAAUAAGAAUGAUGAUUAAUGAUAAUAACCUGCGACUCACGUAAACGUUCUGAUUAAUUUUACAUUAAUCACACUUGAACCACGUUUCGUGACACAAAUGACAUGGUAGUUCACACCGGUUGCAUUUCAAAUUUUUGACUCAAAGCUCGUCCUAUGGAUCGCGAGAAUAAACCAUAUGGUAAGAAGCUACGUAAAUAUGGAAAUCACAAAGAAUGGUGAUUACUGUAAUUAAGCCUUCCUCGAUCCCCCCCAACCCCAAGAAACUACUGCUCUCUCUAAAUAACUCUACGGCGCAGCAUCCAAUCUCCUUUUUGUUCCUUUCUCAUCCUCGUAAUAUAAUUUAGAGAUAGGAAGUGGUCGCGCCAUGAGCAAGGGAAACAGCAGCGAGAGCAAGCUGAGCCAGUGCAUCAAGGCCCCCGACCUGGCUCUGCGACAUACCCGGGACUUGUGCGAGAGCAGCAUGGCCGGGACUGAUAAUAUAUGUAUACACGAUAAUCUCAUGUAAGCUCGUUCAUCUACACCAAAUACUAGUUUUAGAUCGGGCAUGACAUCCUGAAGGAAUGAUUGUUUAAUUGACGACAGUGUUUAUUUACGUGUGGAUUUGACGUGCUUGUUUCCAUCUUUAAAAAGGAAAAUUCAAAUUCUUUUAAAAAAAAACUGUCAACUUAAUUUUUCAAAUAGCUCUUCAAAAAAUUCUCAUUGAGUAUUUUUUUUUUUCAAAAAGACUAUUCUAUAUCAAUCGGUCAUCGCCUCCGCCUCGUAUCACUUCUGAACACGUAUCAGAGUAUUUUUUUCAAAAAGUUUCUUCUAAGCGUGAGACAAUGUAUCACUUCUGAACACGUAUCAGAGUAAAUCCAGGCCAUUGCAGUUUGCAACUUCUUCUUUCUUUUCCUGAUCCAAUUCUUACAGUUGUUGGUGAUCAUCCGCAAUUUCUUCCCAGUAUAUGUUCCCCUUGUAGCUCAAGCAAUAUCCGAAGGUAACUUUAGCUAUAAAUUUCGUUUGGUUUGGAAGUUCAAGAAAAAAUAGUCACUCUUAUGUCCAAAGUUAUUGACAGAAAUGAGGUGGUCUCAUUAACUAUGCUUUGAUACUAUGGACUACGGUCAAGAAUUUGAAGCUGUCUGGCAACAUUUACAAGUGAGAAUGGAACGGAUAAAUGAAAUCAAAAGUACCCAUUUGGACUGCACAAGAAAAACCUUUAUGACUGACGUUUUGAACUGUUCAUAUGAGGUAGUCACUGUUAACUCACAUCCACGUUCAAGAAAAGGAUGUGCUACAGUCUCCUAGCGGUGGCAAUUCCAUGAUUGUCCACCGAGGAUGCUUAUUAUUCUUAUUCGCAAGCAGUUCGUCUGAGAAAUUAACUCAGAAGCCUCGUAUUGUGCUUCUGCUCAACCAAAGAAAGAGAUCAGAAGUGGAGAUAGAAGAUCCAUGGAGCAGGACGAUCCCAAUUACCUCUUCCAGGCCUAAAUUGUAGAGUAAGUUGAUCUCUGUCAUAACCAAGUCUUGGCAGCGAUCUCCAAAGAGUUCCAUGCAUCUCGGCCAUGUAGUCGGCAACGAAGCGACGUGAUGGCAUUGAAUUCAGUGUACUCUCUGUGCAGUCACCUUACUCGGCAUCCAUGCAACCGUUCUUCCUUUAUUUUCAAAGAUAAUGAUUACUGAUUUCUUCGAGGGGAAGUGCUUCUAAAUGUGCUCGUGCAAUUGAUUCUCUUCUCAAUCGAUCUUGAUGUGCCAUGCGAUCAAACUCACAUUACGGUGUUCGUGAACAGACGUUGAAGAUCAUGGAAGGAGUAUUUUGUUUGCUGUGAUUGUGUGGAGAGAAACACACGAGGCAAGGGAAGUCCCUGUGUAGUCGGAGAAGGCAACGGAUGGCUUGGCUUUUUCUUCCCUGUAAAGGUGGAAGACGAGAUGGCCAGAUGAUCUAAUAUUAUAUUGCAGUGUUGCGUCUGUCCGUGGUUGUAGGAGUGUCCUACAAAAACAAUAACAGCUUGUUACUAAGACAUGUUCUAUAAACAAUCAAAACAAUUAAAUAUUACACGCAUUAUAUUAAGACCAGCAGAAAAUGUCUUACGUGAUUAAGUAAUUUAGUAUCUGAUAUGGGACUGACAUAUAAAUCAAAUUCUUUUAAAGUAGAAGAAUCUGAAAUAUUUUUUCUUUGUUUUUCUCAAAUAACCUAUUCAAUCUUAUUUCAUAUGCGAACCCAUUAGUUCAUCAAAUAAAAAUAUAGAUAAAUCUUUUGACUCUUAUAACAAUAUGAUCAAAUUUCGGAGUUAAACUUUUCAAAACUUUUAUAACAAUUAUAUGAUAAGGAAGAUGUACACCAUAAAAUUUUAUUUAACUAACAAUAUCAAUCACUUGUGAAAGAAAAUCUUACAUCGAUUCAUUAUUUUUCAUGAAUAAAUUUUAAAUUCACCACGAAGGGUUUAAAGUUUUACUGUAAUCACCCUUGUUGAGCCUUGAAAUUCAUUUUGAAGUAUCAAUCAAACUUGCUUUAAGGUUAUUGCUAUUGUAAUUCUUGAGAAAAUUAUUUCAUGUAUAGCUUGUUGAAUGAACAACAAUGCCUUUGAGUUCUUAUUUCUAUUCUUCCUCAGCCUGAUUUUUUUAUGUAGACCUACAUAUCCAUUCUCUAUUAAGUCCCAAAGAUCUUGAGACUUGAAUAAAAUAUUUAUCUUGAUACUCUAAAAUUCAUAGCAUUUGUCCGAGAAGAUGGAAAUAAGGGGUUGAGACAUAAAAUUAUUAUUAAAAGUCAUAAUACCCAAUUCGGAUUGAAAACUUAGCUAUGAUACCAUAAAUGUUGAGGAUGAAGGAAUAAGGAAAUGAUAAAAACAGAAUACUAUGAUAUAAUUAAAAAAAAUAUUUUGAUCAAGAAAAUCGUUGUAGUAUUUAAAUAAGAUAUAAGAUAUGAACACUUACAAGAUAUUCUCAAGUGCACACUCUUUAUCUUAUUUCAUGAAUUAAGGUCUUAUUUAUAGGACAUAGUGGUAACUACCUCACUCCAUCAUGUCACCCGUGAUUGAAUUAGGUGUAGAAACUACCUUAUAAUUUUUAGAUCAUGGGUCAUUAUUUAAAAUAUGUCCACAACUAUUUAAAACAUGAUAACUAUCUAGAUAACUACUAUGAAUCAUUAAUUUUACGUUACUGUUUUCUUCGAGCGGAAGUGCUUCUAAAUGUGCUCGUGCAAUUGAUUAUCUUCUCAAUCGAUCUUGGUGUGCCAUUCGAUCAAACUCACGGUAUGGUGUUCGUGAACAAACGUUGAAGAUCAUGGAAGGAGUUUUUUUUUUGCUUGCUUGACGUAAUUGUGUGGAGAGAAACACACGAGGCAAGGGAAGUCCCUGUGUGGCCGGAGAAGGCAACGGAAGAUCAAGUGCAAGACAACCGAUGGCUUGGCUUUUUCUUCCCUGUAAAGGUGGAAGACGAGAUGGAUAGAUGAUCUAAUAUUAUAUUGCAUUGUUGAGGGUAUCCAAUCAUUGUACAUCUGUCCGUAGCCGUAGGAGUGUCCUAAAAAAGCAAUAACAGCUUGUUACUAAGACAUGUUUUAUAAACAAUCAAAACAAUUAAAUAUUACACGCAUUAUAUUAAGGCCGGCAGAAAAUGACUACUACUUUUCGAUACUCUCUUGUGUUGUGCUUACGUGAUUAUAGUAUGAUAUGAGACUGACAUAUGACCAACACUUCAGUAACGUACGACCUACACCUCAACCGGAGGAUCUCAUCCAAGCAAUGCAUAGUAGGCACUUUGACACUCAACGGUAGGAAUCUAAAGCUCUUCAACCCCUAAUGUAUGGAAUUUGAGGUGACUUCGUAAUUUUCUUUUACAAAUUUUAAUAAAUAUAUAUUUCUCUCUAAAUAUUAUUAUCAUUCAAAUAAAUCCUUCACAUUAACGUUCUUUAAAAAGAAACCAAGAUAACCACAAUAAUCAUGGUUUUCUUCAAUUGACCAUUUGACUUCAAACCAAUUUUUAACAUAAAAUAUUUUAUAUAUCUUACUAUCUUAAUAAGGCUUGUAAAAUGUAUCAAUGUCGCUCUAAUGGUGAAAUAACAGACAUGGAGAAUAAUUUUACAGUCUCCAUAUAUAAAUAAAAAAAUCACUCUAUGUAUAAGAACACACAAAGGUAUAAUUACACUAAAAACAAUACAAUUAUCGAUGCCCCUCGCAAAAAUAUUUUAUAUCGGUUGUAUUUAAUCGGCUCACGUCGAUCAAGGUUUGUGUUUUGUCGUUAAAUCAAUCAAGUUGUCCAUUUGAUAUCAUUCAUUUACGUGCAUUUGUCCAUCAAAUAAUAAUAGUUGGACCAUGAGUUGGCUAUCUUAUCUUCCUGCCCAUCAAAACCCUUCCAUGAUGUGGCAUCGAAUAAACUUACGAUUAAAACAUGAUGAAUCAACCCUUACAAUUUAUAACAAAUAAUUGGACCGAUUCUUCCAAAUUUUAUAGUCCCAUCGUGAGGGAUGCAUGACCAAACAACCUCGCCCACAGCAUUUGACGCAGCCAUCACUAACCUUAUCGCUUUUAAAUGCAUAGUAUGGUAAAAAUAAUGAUAAUAAACUCGCGUCACAAGUUGAUAUUUUUAUUGGUUUUAGUCAAUUUCCACUUGAAGCACGUGAAUGACGUAAAUGACAUUACAGUUCGCAUUGCGUACGCAUCUAACUCUUUUGACUGGAAGCUCCUCCAAUUGCAUGUCCAUGAAUCAGAUAUGGAUGAUAUGGUACCACUUUUCCAUUGUCUUCCCACGCACAUCAUCCACGGUUUCCACACAGACUAGUAGAAGUAAAAUUGCCAACUCAUCUACCUCCAUCUAUCAAUAUAUUAUAUAAUCUCGUUCUUGCAUCGCGUGUUCUGCGACCAUCAACCGGAGACAUUAACAAUUAUGAGCCAUUCCAACACGUCUAAGUACACGUCAGAUUCAUCGGGAUGGCAUAAUCUCUUGAUAAGUCAAUGGGCUUUACCUCCCUUAUUUUAUCUGAAUUUUUUUCUGACUGUGUAAACAAAUUCACCUAUAUAUACAGACAUGCCCGGAUCAACUCUGGACAACCAUCAUGGCCGCCACCCACAUUGCCCUGUUCGUUUCCGGCCUUGCCGUCUUGCUUCUCCUCGUCCAAGGAUCGCCGCCAGGGCCUGUUGUCCAGUGCCGGUCUGGCAACACUAACUGCACCGUGACCAACGGCUAUGGAGCCUUUCCUGAUCGCAGUACCUGCCGCGUCGCCGCGGUCGCGUACCCUUCGAACGAACAGGAGCUCCUGUUAGCUGUCUCCGACGCCACCGUGAAGCAGCAGCACGUGAAGGCGGUCACGGUGUACUCACACAGCAUCCCCAAGCUGUCGUGCCCCGGCGGGCCGAGCGGCCAGGGCCUGGUAAUCAGUACCCAGCGCCUCAACAGAUCGGUGAGCGUGGACUUGGCCACCUCGCGGAUGACGUUCGAGGCAGGGAUCACACUUAGGGCGCUCCUUGACGCGGCGGCCGCCCGUGGCCUGGCGCUGCCCCACUCGCCGUAUUGGCAAGGGGUGACGCUGGGCGGGCUGCUGAGCACCGGCUCACACGGGAGCUCGGUGUUCGGGAAAGGCUCGGCGGUGCACGAAUAUGUGGUAGGGAUGAGGCUGGUGGUUCCAAGUCCGGUCCCGGUGAACGGAUCCUACGCCAAGAUCGUUAAUCUUGGUGAGGACGAUCCUGAUCUCUUGGCUGCCAAGGUUUCUCUCGGUGUUCUUGGAGUUAUUUCUCAGGUAUAUAUGCGGUGACCUACUUGUUAUUCUUUGUUCUUUACACGGUUUGAGAUCCAUGUGAUAACUCAUCUUAGUUCUUCACGGUGUUUCUUCCAACCACGUCGAGUACUUUCAUAAACUGAGUACAUGACUUGCUACGUCUCGAUGCUAAUUAGGUGCAACUCUAUAUUUAAUUGUUCAUUCUAUUGUUAGUAUCAAGACUUUGUUUGCACUACGUCAGCAAAAUGUCGAGACAAAAAAAAACUUGUUUUCAGUCAAAUCACUUUGCGAAGGAAGACUUGUUCUUUUCCUCCAAUAUAUAAAGUUAUGUAAAAUAAUUGGCAGUUGAUGAUCCCAAUGGACUUUAGUUUUAAUCUUCCCUUCUUUUCUUGCUUUGCUUGUAUUCCUUUUUUGAAAAUGGGCUAAUGCAAACGUUUGAAUCGUUCUAUUGAUUCCAUGUACCUUCCCUCCUAGUUUGUAGUAACUACAUAGCACAGUUGAGUGUUAUGGAACAUAUGAGCACAUUCAAACCCACAUGGACAAAGAUCAGAGAAAAAGCAAACUUAAAUGAGAGUGAAGGCAUGAUUUGAAGCCAUCAUUUUACAUCUAUGGUUGUUCCAUCUAGUUAUAUCUUAUAGAUGUAGAGUUUUUUUCUUGGAAGAACAGCUACAGUGACGUUGAUGAUGACUCGGGGUAAAUGAGAGUGCCCCUUCCUUCACAUAUGGAGCCUCGCGCAAGGCAAGAGGCAGGCAGGUCUACGCUGCCUUGCCUUGCAGAGCUUACGACCGGGCCCGCCAUUGCCUUAAAAGCCUCAGUAACAAUUAUUAGGUUGAAGGACGAUAGGGGAUGUCAGUAGUAGUAGUUCUUGUUUCAAUCUUGUUGCCUGAAUAGCUGAAAAGAGUUGGUUUGCAAUACAAGUAAGCUUUUGUUCUGCUGCUUCAUUAUAAGUAACCUAAGAAUUACUUGAACCGAUCGCGCAGGUCACCCUCCAACUUGAGCCGAUGUUCAAGCGAUCCAUCACCAACAGGGUCGUAAGCGACGUUGGCUUCGAGCAAACCAUCUCCUCGUACGCUGUCACUACUCACUAUGGAGACAUCAUCUGGUAUCCAUCACAAGGCAGAGUGGUGUAUCGAGAUGAUAUCAAGGUCCCCAUCACCACCAAAGGAAAGGGUGUAAACAACUUCUUAGGGUUCCGAGCGCAGCCCACCCUUGUCAUAGCCUCUACACGUGCUUCAGGUGUUAUAAAUUGCAGCUUUUAUUUUGCUUGACAAUCUUGAUGUAGUGUUCGAGUAGUAUCGUACUUGAUUUAUACUAACAAGGCAUCUCUUGUCCUCUACGAUGUGUUUGUGUUUAUGACUGCAGAGGAACUAUCGGAACUAACAGGAAAUGCCGAAGGCAAAUGCGUGCUGUCCAGAUUGCAAGCGGAUACUCUGAUUGCGACCGGCAUGGGCCUUAAGAACAAUGAUGGCGGCUUGUUAGAUUUCACCGGCUAUCCGGUCGUUGGAAACCAAAGCGACAUGCAAUCCGCUGGUAGGUCCUCAAAUUAUUCCAGGAAUGUAUAUAAUGACACAUGUAACACCUGAAUUAUUUAGUCUGAGUCAUCUUCUCUCCAGGUUCAUGCCUACGGAGUGCAGAAGACAAACUUCUCACGGCUUGUGGAUGGGACCCUCGUUUUGCGGGGCUCUUCUACCACCAAUCCGCGAUAAGCAUCCCCUUCACCACCAUCGCUGACUUCAUCGCCGACGUCAAGAAGCUCCGCGACGCCCACCCCAACGCACUCUGCGGCACCGAGCUGUACUUGGGCUUCUUCAUGCGCUUCGUCCGCAGCUCCACAGCCUAUCUUGGCAAAACCGACGACGUGGUGGACAUCGACAUCACUUACUAUCGUUCCAAGGAUCCAAAACGGCCGCGACUCUACGAGGAUGUGAUCGAAGAGAUCGAACAGUUGGCCUUGUUCAAGUACAAUGGGUUGCCCCACUGGGGGAAGAAUAGAAACGUCGGCUUCCUCAAUAUCAAGAACAAGUUGGGGGCCAAGCUGGACAAGUUUGUGAGUGCCAUGCAAAAAUAUGACAGCAAUGGAUUGUUCUCUUCAGAUUGGACCGAUGCGGUGCUGGGACUGCGUGGGAAGGAAGUUGUGGUGCAGGGAAAUGGUUGCGCAUUGGAGGGGUUGUGCAUUUGCUCCACUGAUGACCACUGUGCUCCUAAACAGGGCUAUUAUUGUCGACCUGGAGAAGUCUAUGAUCAGGCUCGAGUGUGCCGGAAGAUUAAAUCCGUUGAAGCUGAUGGUCAGGCAGACAGCUUGUGAUACCGUUCACAUUCAUUUGCUGUAAGGUUUGUAUCGGUGUCACUUCCUCUUUGAACAGACGAUGUAAUGCCAGUCAAUAAUUACUACAUAAUUUAAUAUUGUAAUUUUAAAGCAAUGAUCAAUAAAUGUAAUAUUGUAUGGGAGUCAGAUUACGUUCCUCCUGAUAUUAUUUAAGCAACACUUCCAUUAUUAAUGCUAUAAUGUCGAGAGACAGUACGUUAAUGCAAUCUUCGCUUCCAUUUCUUAAAUAAUAAUAAUAAUGAUAUUAUAUUUUAUCUAGAAAAAUUCUCACAAUUGAGCUUUUACAAAAUGAUGCCCUGUAAAUAAUUUUUAUGUGGGACAUCUUUCAUAUUAAAUUGAUGAAACUACCCUCUGUCCUCCACGAGUCCCCUCCGUCGCCCCUGCUCUCACCGCGAAUGGUGUCGUCCGUCCUCCCUUCCCCCACCUCCCUAGCCGCCCGCCCCUUCUCGCUGGUGGCCUGCCAUGGGCGACGAUCGCACGGGUGUCGCAGGUGAGGGUUGCGACGAAAGGGCCGCUUCGGAUGGCGAGUAGUGGCUGAAUCGAUGGCGUAGCGAUGGGAGAUGGCCUCGUGGGUGACGCACCACGGUACCUAGCGACGGGAUCCGCCCUCUCGUCCUCGCUAUUCGCGACGAGGUUGUCGCGUUUUCCCUCGACAUUCAUGACCACGAGUUGGUCACUCGCGACACAAAACGGAGAAUUGGCUGCGGAUAGCUGUUGCUGGCCGCGGCAAGGAUGAGAAAGACAGGCGACGAGGGAUUGAAGAUGGCGAUGAAGACGGGGAGUGGUGGACGGCGAGGCGAGCAAAGCCGCGGAUGCGAUCGGGGGAGGAGGAGGAGGAAGGGAGGGGAAGGGGAAGGUAGAUGGCGACGGAUGACGCUGCACGUGGUAGGAGCGAGCGUAGAACCGACGAUUGAUGAUUAGUGUAAUUACGCUACGAUGAUGAUGUAAUAAUAAUAUAACGAGAUUUAAAAUGGGCAUAUAUCGAUAAACAUUAAUUUUCUUUCUUUAUUUAGGUCACGUCCUAACUACAGGUGUAUUAAACUCGGUGCCUUCGCCACAGAGCUAACUGGUGGAGGGGCAGAAGGUAAUGGUGUAGUCUGCGGCGCCCGAGGCGCACGUGAACGUGCUCGUGGCGUCGUCGUAGGCGUAGCUGUACGCCGCCGGGCACGCCGCCUUGAAGAGCUGCGAGUAGCGCGUCGGCCCGCACGUCGUCGGGGAGCCGUGGGCUCCCGUGCAACAGUACUCUGGGGAUCCGAACGCCUCGCACGCGCUCCGGCACGCCAUCGUCUCCCCGGACUCCGACGCCACCCGCAGCUCCGCCGGGCACCGCGCGUUCACGUCCGCCACGCACCCCGCGUACCGGCAGCUGCCCCCCACGGCCGCCCCGGAGGGGCGCACCCCGAUGCCAACGUUGUAGCCGUCGACCAAGCUCACGUCGUAAAAGUCCUUGGCGCCGUCACCGCCGCCGAGGGUGAACUCGGCGAGACUUACCGGCGGGGCGCCACCGAUAGAGCAGCGGAGGGCCCCACCGCAGUCACCGGUGGCGCAGGACCCGUUGGCAGAGGAGGAGUCGAAUAGGCAGCUGGUACGGGCCCAGAAGCGGCCGGACCAGCCAGGUGGGCCGGAGAAGGAGCUGGUGGCGUUGGGUGGGAGCUCGAAGCUGCCAUUACCAAGGAGGACGGCGCCGUUGCCGGACAAUGCGCCGGGCCAUACGGUAUACGGACAAUUGUUCUCGAGGAUGAAGGCGGUGCCAGCACCCGCCGCCGCCGGUGCCCGUAACGCCCCUGCUUCAAUUUAACAGAUAAAAGAAGAAGUAGGCGCUUUGCGCGGAAAUGCUUAAACUUGUGGGUUAAUCAGGCGCUUACCUGAGAAGAGGAAUGUUCCGAGGCCGAGGAGGAACAAUUUCAGCAGGAAAGCCGCCAUGACGAGGCACAGCGAGUCGUGAGUCCGUUGCCGGUAGCUGAUUGCUCAGGUAAAUGUGGUUGGGAUGUAAGUGUGUCCUUCACGAAUCUCAAAGUAUGUUGUGAAGAUCCGCUAAAAGAUCUCCACACGUCGUGCAUGAUGUGACAAUUGGCACCCCACUCGGUGUUUUAUAGAGAGCUCCCUAUAAAAUUUCUUCUGGUGCAAAUUGGUAGAGUUUGUCACGAUUUGGGGUCUAUUGUCUCUUCUCAAUUUGAAAUUUGUCCAAUAUGUCUUGGACGAUCCGUGGAAGGUUUACCUGACAAGGAGAGUAUCCGAUUUGGAGUGACUUUUCUUGAGAUAUGAUAAGUUUAAGCCUCCAAGAAAGCAAGAUUGAGGUAUUUGUUCCCGAAUAUUUGAUCAUCCAACUAAACCUUAAUUGCCUUAUGAUAGAUCAUAUUCAUUGCUUCACGUUGAAUUAAAUGCCAAACUUACACAUCGCUCCAUUUGCUAUGCCCUUCUUGUGUGCAUUGGGAUAGUUCUCCUUUCUGGUCACCUAAUGUCUUCCUUCCUGGAUACUUAAGCUGUGUCUCAAGCAUCUCACGAGAAUGGAGGUUCACCGAGAUGCAUCCUUCGGAGGGGCGUUCGCAUACUAAGAACGGAUGAGCCUGACGUGGGGAGAUAGGCUUUACGUUGAGGUGCAUGGCUGUGGUAAUGGCUUUCUCGUUUGGGCGACACCUCUCCCUGCAGCGCGACCUGCGUGAAUUCUGCAGUUCAAGUCGGUGACGGUUGAGCUCCAUGCACGAGCACCACAAUGUACGUGUGCUCACCGUCAUGAAUCCUGCACCGUCCGUUUCAUGAAUCUUCGUGUCAUCCGUCGGAUCGGACGGCCAGCUGGUCUCCUCUGUCAGGUAAAAUAUGCGUCGGGGUUGUCUCUCCCAAAAGGAGCUGUUGGUCAUAUGUUUGCCUCACGUAAUGCCAUCACUUUAAGAACAUGAGAAGAAGGCAACCAAAGGAUAUUUCAAAAGGGAUGCUGAUCGAUCUUCGCUUUGUCUUCUGCUAAGCUGCCUUUGCCAAAGCAUGGUGAUGCAUUUCACCACCAACUGUCCACCUAAUAUUGGAGCAGAAUUUGGUGACUGCUCAACUAUUUUUUACUCCUCUUUCUCAUCGGACUCGUACGUUUGGUUGAAAAGUCAUCUUAGGGGGGUAUAAUGCUUGACGAGCUCUUGAGGUAUAAUCUUCGAGAAAACUAGUGUUCUAAAAAAUAUAUAUGUAUCAAAACAAAUUAUACCUUUUAGAAUUACCAAAUUCAGGUGUUUUGGACGAGCACAAUACGUCGACCUCAGAUUGACUUCAACUUACUAUUCAACAUGUACAAUCAAAUUUUUACUUAGCAAAUUAGUACGUUGACUUAUUCCAUGCAUUUGGUUCUGUCUGCGGCUUGGUUUUCGCCGCCACCUAAUGGACAGACACCAAAUAGUUCGUAGCUCAGCCAAGUCAUGUCUUUUGGAGAGAGAGAGAGAGAGAGAGAGAGAGAAUGUGGUCGUUGAGAAAAUCGAGUGCGAAGGGCAUAGAAGGCCAAUUAACAAGUCAAGCGGCCAAAUGCAUGUUGAGAACAAAAGUCAAACUUGGUUUCAGCAAAGGGUGGUCUGCGGCGGAUAUCACAAGAAAAAGAUGCAUAACGUCAAUUAAAAAUAAGUCUUUUAGCCAUUGAAGGUGCAAUUUGGAACAAAAGUAUUUAUUAAUUAUAGGAAAGAAGGCCGUCAUGAUAAAAAAGAUUUCAAAAAUCUCGCCAGUAUGUAUAUAUAUAAUAAUGACCUUAUGCAACAUCUCAUGUUUAAUAUUUAAUUUAAGAAUCUAAUUGUAAAUAUAAAUAUUACAGGAAUUAAAAUGUAACAAAGUCAAAAAGAAAAAAGGAAAAAAGAAAAUUUUCUUCCGCACCGCCUCUCCCUUCUCUUGAGAGGGGCUUCGGGUGAGAAAGGAGCAGAAGGAAGAUAGAAACAAUAAAGAAGAGAAGAAGAUGAAUAGAGGGUAAAAAAGAAAGGGAGAAGAGGCGGAGAAGAGAAGAAGAAGAAGGAAAAGAGAAAGGAAAGAAGAAGAAAAAGUAGAGGAUCGGUCGUGAGACCAGAGAGGAUAAAAAACAAAGAGAACAAAAAGAAUGGAAGAAGGAGAGGAAAAGAAGGAAAGGAGAAGGGAAAGAAGAGUAAAAAAAAGGGUUGGUGCAAGUGACAUGGACCAGAGGAAAGCAAAAAAAAAAAAUGGUGGAUUGGAUUUGAGAUCAGAUGAAUCUAAAAAUUAUAUGAGGUAUGGUUUUGAAUUCUCUUUAAUUCUUAUUAAUUAGAUUUAUAUUUUAGAUUAUAAAUUGAGAAAUUUUGUUAAUUGGACACCUAUACAUCGAAGAGCAUAAAAGAUAAAUAAUAAUAAUUUUAGAAGAAAAAAAAUCAGAAUAUAAGUUACGGAAGAUAUGCGAUCAAACUCUCUAAUCUGUUUUCAAAGAUAUUAAUGCGUGUGUUGUAUGAUUAAUAAAAUAUGGGUAUUAAUCUAAGAAAAAAAAAGGGUAGCAUUUCUAUUCAGUGGAGAUAUGUACAGAUGAACUGUAUUUAUAAUAUCCUUUUGGAACACCUACAAUCGCUCUCAUCUCCGUUGUGUCUUUUCUCAGUAGAUAAAGACAUGAGUGUCGAGUCAAUCUUUCCAACCCGUCGAUGUACAUCCGAUGAGAGCACGAAGCAGCUUCUCAGAGUUCCUCGCGCCCACAGACGAGCACAAACCUCCUGGUGGCCGCACACGGUAUUUGAGCCUGCUGUUUCCCCGGCGUGAGUGAAUUGAAUUGGGAGGAUUGCCUCUUCGCGUGCCUCAAAGGUCGUCAACGGUGCCUCAGCGUCAUGCUAUAUAUAACAAGCCCUCUCUUGGUCCCUGUACCAUCGACCACCAACAACGUCAGCGACUUGCGGUUCUCCAACGAGCGAAGCUAAUCGAGGAAAGCGAUCCAGAAUAGAAGAGAUGGCUCAUUCCGGUGCUGCCGAAGUCUUCACGGAAGAGCAGGAGGCGCUUGUGCUGAAAUCAUGGAACGUGAUGAAGAAGGACUCAGCCAACCUGGGGCUAAAGUUGUUCUUGAGGUACUACGACUAUUCCUCGCUCUGUGGCCAAUGGACCCCAACCGUGUUGCUGGUCAUUGAGCAUGUCUUAUUCUCAGGAUCUUCGAGAUUGCCCCGUCAGCAACUCGACUCUUCUCCUUCCUACGUGACUCCGAUGUGCCAUUGGACAAGAACCCAAAGCUCAAGCGCCACGCCAUGUCCGUCUUCGUCAUGGUACCUCUCAUCUUUCUUCCUUUAUGUACGCAUACAUUGUCAUGCAUCUGCAGAAAGCCGUUGCUCAAACUUUCGUAUUCUCCUCAGACAUGCGAAUCCGCGGUGCAACUGCGGAAAGCCGGGAAGGUCACGGUGAAGGAGACGACUCUUAAGAGGCUCGGUGCAAGCCAUUUCAAAUACGGUGUAGUAAAUGAACACUUUGAGGUAAUAGAUUCUGCUAGCAGUUUUUGUGAUCUCAGAUCAUUUGCUCAUAAAUUCAAUGACAUACAUUAAAGUUCAGCAAACAACAAGUCAAACAAGGUUCAGUGCAAACCGAUGACUGCAACUUUUGUUUAAUGCAUGGUGCAGGUUACGAGGUUUGCUUUGUUGGACACAAUAAAGGAGGCGGUGCCGGACAUGUGGUGCCCUGAGAUGAAGGCGGCAUGGGGAGAGGCUUAUAACAAGCUUGUUGCAGCUAUCAAGGAAGAAAUGAAGCCCAUUCCUUCCCCAUAGAAUUUAAUUCUCUCUCCUUGUUCUGUGGGCAAACCGGAAAUAAGAGGGCGUCAUGUGUGCUCGUACGUGUAGUUUAGUUUACCUUACAGUAUGUUCUGUGCCCAAUCUUUCUCCCAGUCAUCGGAUUGCGUCUGUAAACCAACGUACUUUUCUAGUAUACAUCUCAUUUCGAAUCAUAAAUUAUAGGACAGUUCUUUUUAUCCUCAUAAUGCCGCUAAAUUAAUUGAGGAAUACAUUACGAUGAGGGAGAGAGAUUCUCAAAUAUUAGAUUUUCAGGAAUGUUUUCAUCAUGAUUUUUUUUAUCAUAUAUCGUAAAAUUAAAUAUAAUUAAAAUAUUUUAAUUGUACGUAAGAAACUGAUCAGAAUAUGCACCGAUCUAAAGGAGGCAGAGGAGACAACUGCCUAUAUCAAUCUCAAUUACUUCAACUUCGGCCGAGGAAGAUCGCACUGUCGAGAAUUGGAUAAUAGAUCAGCCGGUAGAGAGGCGACCACAGUGGGUCCGCUGGCAGAGUAGCAGCGGCGAGGGUCCGCCGGCAAAAUAGCAACGGCGAUGGGCCGCUGGCUUGCGAGGAAGUUGACAGGCAGAUGGCAAACGGAGGGGCGACCACAGUUGGCGACCCCCGAGGACGAGGAGGCUGAGAGGAGGUGGCGGGUGCUCAGCCUGCUUCUGUGCAACAGCCGAGAGGAGGCGGCGGGCCUCCGGCUGUCUGAAAGCUGGAGGGCAGGAACUCCGCCGGAGCUCCGCUGGAGGAAGCGGAGGAAGGGACGCUGAGGGCAGCGUAGCAGUUCGGAGAGGACGCUGUUGUUGCCGCCAACGGCAGUGAGAGAUGAUUUUAUUCCGCUCGGAGCAGUGAUCGGCAAGGUGCGGCGGUUGGUGAGGAAGAAGAGGGAGAGCCUCGCCGGAGUUCCACGGACACUGCGCCUUGAUGCUAAACAACCGAGGUCAACACCGCUCGCCGAAGAGGAACUCGCAGCGGCAGAUCUAAGUCCCGGAUCGCCGGCCAACAGGGAAGGGGGGACUUUGCCGGUGAAGAGGAACUGCUUCGCCGACAUAGAGCACCUUCGCCAGUGAGGAAGAACGGGCGGGCACUUCGCCGAGACGAGGUUGCUCGGAGAAAACCGACAACGGCAGAUUAGCAGAGAUGAGGGACUGCCUUCGUCGGACGGCGACGAAGGGAAGCGGUUCUGAGAGCACUAUGUGAGAAGAAGGGGAGCGCUGUGUUGAUGGCUGCAGGAGGGAGCGGCGGUCGACGAGGCAGAGGUGCCAAGGCCUAAAGCGAAAAAAUGGGAGGAGCAGGUGCGGUGGGCGCCGAGGGCGAGGCGGCCAACGCGGCGCUCGGUGCAGAGAUGAGCGCUUGGGGCAGAGAGCAGUAUUCGAUGGAGUUGCAGCGUCGGAGAAGACGCCGACGUAGUAGGGAGGAGAAGGAGGCUGUUGAUAAGGGUAAAAAUGGCAACAUGACACGCCCUGAUGUCAGCCAUGCCUGGACAACACACUGCCCUAGGAAAUGGGCAUUAACGCCGACUUGAUAUGCGCCAGCGUCACCCGCUCCCAGUCAACGACUCCACCGUCUGACCCCGCGCGCUCAGUCGAGGCAGAGGAGGACGUCGACCGAGGCUCGCCCAUACCCUGCGGCAGUCGGUUCUCCAUGCAACCCCAGUGGCAAUGUCAGACGCCAUCGGAGGUACGGUCCUGCUCCUGCAGGCAGCCACAUCAGGUAACAUCAAACUCAUCUAUAAAUACCCCAGAGUUCUAGACGAACGAGGGAGAGGAGAAAACACAGACACAACACUUAUAUGGAGGUAUUUUCCUCCUCCUAAACCCCCUCCACAUCACUGACUUGAUCGUCGGAGGGGUCGGGCCGAGCUCCCGGCCCGACCUGUGUGCAGGUGCAAGACGGGGUCGACUCUUCCCGGCGCUGCGGCGACGCACUCCCCCCGACGCGACGUCCCGACCGGACCAUUGAGACAGGCCACCGGGAGACCUCGAAGGACACCGCUCGAGAUCCCCGACAUCCGGACCCCCGAACCGAGCCGCGACGGCCCCGAGGCCACGGCUUAAACAAAUGCCCCCCGCAUCAUUUUGGCGCUAGAAGGAGGGCCCGAAUGUUGAGGGAUCCUUAGACUGAUCCCGACGAACUCCCUGCCGAGGGAUCGUUCUAUGCAGGGGCGUAGGCCGUGCGUCCAUUGCGUGACGGGCCGCAGGCUGACGACCUCUCCGCGACUUCGGAACGCUACUGGCGUUCAUUCGACAACCCGGAUCUGCUUCCGCCUGAGGGCGCUCCAAGCGUCCCCUCGCCGGUGUCAUCCGAGGCCUUUCACGACCUCGCUCGUCAAGUCCGAGCUCUGACAGAUAUGUUGCAAACCAUCAUCCCGCUCGUCUCCCAACCGACACCCACGCUUAUGACUCAGCCGCUACGGCAAUAAGAGCCGCCCGCCUGGGCCCACAUGACGCUUCCUAAGCCUCCCACUUCGCCUCGGGUCCGACCGACCCCACUCGGGGAUCCAGUGAUGGCAGACCCAAGCGGCCCCCCGGAGCCCGAAGUAUUAUCUCCGGAGUCAACGGACUCCCUGCGAGCCCAGCUAUGCUUUCUUAGUCAGUAGCUCGACGAAUUAGAGAAGGAGUUUUGCAACUCAAAGGGAGAGCUCGGGAUGGACACAUAUCGAGGAUCCCCGUUCGCACCAGAGAUACGAGAUCACGCGGUUCCCCCAAACUUUCAGCUCCCUUCUUUGGACGCAUAUGACAGCUCCACUGACCCAGCGGACCAUGUCGUCGCUUUCCGUGCCCAAUUGGCACUGUACGGAACGUCUGACGCUUUAAUGUGCAAGGCGUUUCCCGCGACCCUGAGGGGUCCGGCCCGCACAUGGUACAGCGGCCUGAAGACCGGAACGAUCACUUCCUACGGCCAACUCGCUAAGGACUUCGAGCUCCACUUCGUAGCCCAUGCCCGGCCAAAGCCCUCCGCGGCACUGCUCCUCGGACUCAAACAAAGAGAGGACGAGCCCCUCUCACAUUUCGUGGAUCGCUUUGCCACGCGAAUCCGGAGCUUACCGGACACUCACCCCUCUUUGUUAGUGUAGGUGUUUAUGGUAGGCUUGUGACCUUCCAGAUUCUGCUGGUCCCUCGUAGAGCGACCCCUCACCAUAGUACCAGAUAUGCUCCAGCGAGCUAACCGGUACAUCGCGGCGGAAACUUGGGUGACCGCAAGGAAGAGGAGUGACUCUGGGCGGCGGGCCCCGUAGCAACGGUCAAGCACCCGCGGUUGCUAUCCGGUGUAAUCUUCGUGCAAGGAAUCUAGCCCUUGCUUCAGUCUCUUCCAAGAGAAGGCUCCAUGUUUACCUGACUGCCUCUUGGCUCACGGUUAGCUUCGGCCUAACCCCCCUCUUUUUUGCAUUCGCACGGCUCGGUCGUAGACUGCCCGAGUCCACCUCGGCGCGGCCUGCCUGCCUGUGUUGUGCUACUCGGCCGCAUGGUGCCCGAGACCACGCCUGCGCGUCCUGCCCGCCUGCGUCGUGCUACUCGGCCGCAUGACCCUCGCGACCACGCCUGCGCAGUUUGCUCGCCUGCGUCGUGCUCCUCGACAGCAUUAUGCCCGAAACAACACCUACGCGGCCUGCCCGCCUGCGUCGUGCUCCUCGGUCCCAUCAUCCCCGAGACACACCUGCGCGACCAGCCCGCCUGCGUCGUGCUCCUUGGCUCCAUGUUCCCGAGACACACCAGCGCGGCCAGCCCGCCCGCGUCGUGCCCAUCGGCUCCAUACUCUCCGAGACACGCCUACACGGCCAGCCUGCUUGCGCCGAGCUCCUUGUCCAUGCACUGCCGAGUCAAUCUUAGGGCGACUUGCCCACUUGGGUCACGUCCCUCGACCGCAGCCUGCCUACGUCGAGCUUCUCGGUCAUACGCUGCCGAGUUCACCUCAGCGCGGCCUGCCCGCCUGAGCGGUGUCCCUCGGCCACACCGCUGAGUUCACCUCAGCGCGGCCUGCCCGCCUGAAUCGAGUUCCCCGGCUUUUGUCAUAUCCCUCGACCAUAGACGGCUGAGCCCACCUCGGCGCGGCCUGCCCGCCUGUGUCGUGCUACUCGGCCGCAUGGUGCCCGAGACCACGCCUGCGCGUCCUGCCUGCCUACGUCUUGCUACUCGGCCGCAUUGCCCUCGCGACCACGCCUGCGCGGUCUGCUCGCCUGCGUCGUGCUCCUCGACAGCAUGAUGCCCGAGACCACACCUGCGCGGCCAGCCCGCCUGCGUCGUGCUCCUUGGCUCCAUGUUCCCGAGACACACCAGCGCAGCCAGCCCGCCUGCGUCGUGCCCCUCGGCUCCAUACUCUCCGAGACACGCCUGCGCGGCCAGCCUGCUUGCGCUGAGCUCCUCGGCCAUGCACUGCCGAGUCCAAUCUCAGGGCGGCUUGCCCACCUGGGUUACGUCCCUCGGUCGUAGCCUGCCUGCGCCGAGCUUCUCGGGCAUAUGCUGCCGAGUUCGCCUCAGUGCGGCCUGCCCGCCUGAGCGGUGUCCCUCGGCUACACCGCCGAGUUCACCUCAGCGUGGCCUGCCCGCCUGAAUCGAGUCCCCCGGCUUUUGCCAUAUCCCUCGGUCAUAGACGGCCGCGCGGCCUGCCCGCCUGCGUCGUGCUCCUCGGUCCCAUCAUCCCCGAGACACCUGCACGGCCCGCCCGCCUGCGUCGUGCUCCUCGUUCCAUUCUUCCCGGGACACAACUGCGCGNNNNNNNNNNNNNNNNNNNNNNNNNNNNNNNNNNNNNNNNNNNNNNNNNNNNNNNNNNNNNNNNNNNNNNNNNNNNNNNNNNNNNNNNNNNNNNNNNNNNNNNNNNNNNNNNNNNNNNNNNNNNNNNNNNNNNNNNNNNNNNNNNNNNNNNNNNNNNNNNNNNNNNNNNNNNNNNNNNNNNNNNNNNNNNNNNNNNNNNNNNNNNNNNNNNNNNNNNNCUCCCGAGACACACCUGCGCGGCCUGCCCGCCUGCGUCGUGCUCCUCGGCCCUUCGGCUCUGUGCCCUCCCGAGACACACUUGCGUGGCCAGCCCGCCUGCUUCGUGCUCCUCGGCCCUUCGACUCUAUUCCCUCCUGAGACACACCUGCGCGGCCAGCCCGCCUACGUCGUGCUCCUCGGCCCCUCAGCUCCUCGGCUCCAUGUUCCCUGAGACCGCGUCCGCGUGGCCCGCCUGCCUGAAGACAGAAGCCAUGCAUCGGUCUCCCCUUGUACAACAACCGGCGCAUAGCUCCUUUCGGGGGGGGCGGGAAUAUGAUAAGGGUAAAAAUGGUAACAUGACACCCCCUGACGUCAGCCAUGCUUGGACAACACACUGCCCGAGGAAAUGGGCAUUAACGCCGACUUGAUAUGCGCCAGCGUCACCCGCUCCCAGUAAACGACUCCACCGUCUGACCCCGCGCGCUCAGCCGAGACAGAGGAGGACGUCGACCGAGGCUCACCCAUACCCUGCGGCAGCCGGUUCUCCACGCAACCCCAGUGGCAAUGUCAGACGCCAUCAGAGGUACGGUCCUGCUCCUGCAGGCAGCCACAUCAGUUAACAUCAAAUUCAUCUAUAAAUACCCCAGAGUUCUAGACGAACGAGGGAGAGGAGAAAACACAGACACAACACUUAUAUGGAGGCAUUUUCCUCCUCCUAAACCCCCUCCACAUCACUAACUUGAUCGUCGGAGGGGUCGGGCCAAGCUCCCGGCCCGACCUGUGUGCAGGUGCAAGACGGGGUCGACUCUUCCCAGCGCUGCGACGACGCACUCCCCCCGACGCGACGUCCCGAUCGGACCGUCGAGACAGGCCACUGGGAGACCUCGAAGGACACCGCCCGAGAUCCCCGACAUCCGGACCCCCGAACCGAGCCGCGACGGCCUCGAGUACACGGCUUAAACAGAUGCCCCCCGCAUCAGCUGUCGAUUGCGACAAGACAGAUCAAGGGGAGAAGAGGUGGACGCUCGGCUUGUAUGAAGUCCGUUGGUGGCCACGAAGAGAGGCGAGGAAGGGAAGAGGAGGAGAUAACCGAUAGCUUGGCGAGGAUGACGGCGCCGCCAAUUGCGAUGGAUACUAUGUCGAAUUGGGAAAUAUGUCGAGGAGACGAGUAUUUGAUUUUAUUUAUUUAUUUUAUGUAUUCAAAUCACGUAAUUAAAUUAAUUAAUUAAAUUUAUGAUUAAUUUUUAAAUAUUAAAUUUUCGUAUAUGUUUGUAUCAUUAUCUUCUAUCAAAAUUCCUUCUCUCUCUCUCUCUCAAUUAUAAACUAAGACAAUACUACGGAAUUAGAUGAGCCGAACAUGUGGUGAAGGCGGCAUGGGGAGAGGCUUAUGACCGACCAGCUAUCAAGAAAGAAAUGAAGCCCAUUCCUUCACUUCCCCAUAGAAUUUAAUUCUCUCUUCUUAUUCUGUGGUUAACCGGAAACAAGAGGGUGUCAUGUGUGCUCGUAUGUGUAGUUUACCUUACAUUAUGUUCUGUA